AAUUGUUUGGACUCUUUUAUGUAAUUUUUCAUUUUGUAAUCUGAUCUGGUCUGCUGCCGAGUUUGGACAUUUUAUUCCUCCAUUUGAUAGUUUGAGCUGCAAUUUUAACUUCUUUUUUGCUACUCGUGCUUAUGAUGCUUCUGUUUUGCGUUGUCGAAUUGAGUGGAUGAUAUAUUAGGGAAUGUGUUGUUCUCUUUUUGUCAAACUAAAUAUGAGUGUAGAAGAAGCUGAUAUGCUAUCUUACGUAAACGACUUAUGAAGCUCGAAUUACUAAUCGAGCGAGCUCGAACUAGCUCGAUUAGAUGUUCGAGUCGAGCUCGAUUGUCGUGUGCUCGAGCUCGACUCGGCUAGUUUAACAGCUAAGGUAACAUGCAUCAAAGCAGGCUUAUUCUCUUAGUACUUUUUUUUUUUUUCUUUUUAUAAAACACAGGUGCAUUAACGCACGACAGAAGCACCCUAUCAAUCUAAGAUCCCAGCUUGCUUGUAGCUUUCGAUAGAGUCAACAAGAGUUUCUUCCACUGGCCUAUACCUCCAGCCCAGCCUCUCCAAUUUUUCUGAGCUAAUAUUCCAUCGGCUUUGAUCCUUCACCUCUAUAAGUCUGCGAAGAAAUGAGUUAUAUCAAAAAAAUAUGCAGACAACAUAAAUGGUUCUUGUAGAGACUCGUAGAUGCCACACUUUUGGAAAUGGAAAUCAUGACGGACAUGAACAAACAAGAAAAUCAGGACAAACGGGGUGUCUGAAAAAUGAGACAAUUAAUUUCAAAGAUGGUAAUCCACCUCUUAGGGUACUUGUAGUUGGCAUAGUUUUUCCUCAGAGUUUCCACCAUAUCUUUUGUCGUGGUGACGUGAGGUGAACAUAUGUACCGGCCUUCAGCUUCAGGUCUCCCGUAAACCAAAAGCAGUGCCUCGGCCACAUCACGCACAUCUACUGUGUUGUAGAAUUUGUUUUCUGUUUCUUCACAUCCGUCUGUGCAGCCAAGGAGUGAAACAAAAGAGCAGUUUAAUCUCAAAAAAGGAGAUGUUAUCUGUGCUAAUCUCUGAGUUCUUUACUGCAUAUAUGAAACCUACAAUCCCUUUGACAAAUAGUACAGCAAUAAAUUCAUGGGACUUUUGAAUUGCAAAGGACCUACAGGUCACAAUGUUAACCUUUUAUAUCUUCAACAAUGCUCCAAAGCAAAUCAAGCAAACAGUUGAAAGAUGCAACCUCUUCAGAUGUUAUGCCUAUUGUCUGUCUCAUCUUCCAUUAGGUCAAACUCACACAAUUUUCACAUCAAUAAAAUUUGAAUCGCUUGUGCAUGUGUCUGGAAAGAUUACAUUAGCACAAUUUAGUAUUUUUGGCAGCACUGCUCGUUUAAAUUUCCCUGCCAUCAAGCAGAAAAUUUAAUUCCAUUCCAACAGUAAAAGCCAAACACCACAAUCUUAGUUUUUUUUAGAUAACUUUGCAAGUUUUUAGAGCAUUGCCAAAAUCAUAAAACUAUCAGAAUGGCAGAUAGCUUACAGGUUUAGAAUCUGAAAACCUCAGCUGGCUUGAAGAUUAAAUAAAAAUGCCAAAAGACGGCAAAGCAGUUAUCUCCAUGAAUGUAGUUUCAUUCCUAGAAGGUCAACCGCAACCAGAUAGACGGAUUUUGUGAAAUUUUAUUGGCAUCAAUUCAUUGUGUAUCAUGUAAAUAACACUGGAAGCCAGAAGCAUAAAAAUGAUGGGUUACUUGGAAAAUUAGCUGAUCAACCACAUGAAGAAAUUCAAUUGUUUGACCUUUCAAGUACAAAAAAAGGAAAAAAUUGCUAAGCUUUAGAGGUCAUCUGAGUUCUAGAGUGACAUCCAUGCUCACUUAGGCACAAACCAAUAUCAAGGAGAAAACUGUAUCAUUUACGACCACUUCCAUGCAGAAGGUGAAAGAAAGAAAAAUAAAAUAUAACAUAACGGAAUAAGUUCUCCAAUUGACUACAAAGCACUAAUAAAUCACCUUUCAACAGCUUUAUAAGAGCCACACUGCUAGCAUUCACAUCAUGCUGAAGCAUGGGGCCGAGAACAAAGGAUGGGCAUACAGUUAAAACAUCAAGGCCAGUUUCUUUUGCAUAUUGUAAUGCCUCACUUUCAGCAACCGUCUUGGAGUAACAAUACCAGUUCUGGAGCAAUAUUAGUACUAGAUGGUCAGCCAGAAACAGAUAGUAGUUGCAAAAAUCUGAUUUCUCAGCAAUCUUAGAAACAGUAUGAAUAAGACAGUGAAUUUUCUGCACAAUUACAACACCAAGGUGCAACUGCAAAAAGUCAAAUUAUGUUGAUGCAUACAUUUGUUGCCUUGCAGUAUUCGCCGUCUGACCAACACUUCUCAUCUAUGAUUUCACCUUCAGGCAGAUUAGGACUCAUUACAACAGCUGCAGUAGAGGAAACAACUACAACGCGCUUGACAUUUGCUUCAGAACAAGCCUUCAGUACAUUAAGGGUACCCUUUACAGCUGGCUCAACAAGUUCAACCUGCAACAAAUCAUCAUGUUGGCAGAGGUACUAGCACUCAACUCUGCAUGCUAAACUGCUUGUUUUUGCGUAAAAUAUAUCCAGAUAGACAGCUAAGUAGUGUCAGUUAACCUGACAUCUUUAGAGUGAAUGAGUACAUAGUUAAAAGACUCAUGACUGCUUAUGCCUGUGAUUUAACUUGGUUACCAGCAUAGGUUAUUAUUAUAUGCAUUUAUUCACUCAUUUCAACAUUUGAAAAAUCCUUCCACGAAAUGAUAGAAAGACAAAGAGCCCCAGUGACUUCAUAAGUUUGUACAAACGCUUUAACAAGGUUCUAUUUUAAACGAUACCCAACUUUAGCUCAUGUUUGGCAAAACGCAAUAAAAUAUUAUCUGUUAUGACAAAAGCUGUCUCAUAAACAAAAGAUAUGUUAAAAAUGUUAUUCUGGGGAAACCAAAAGGAAGAAAUAUCAUAGCAAUUGAAACGAUUGAAAAUGGUCUUGCCUCAGGAUUGGGAACAGAGCCUGAAGGAACAGGACUAGCUACAUGAAAUACGCCAUCACAACCCCUGAUGGCUGCAGAAAUGGAGUUGUAAUCCAGCAAAUCAGCCUUAAAGAGUUUCAAAUUCUCAGCUGCUUUGUCAAGUUUCUUCAGAUGAACAUAUUUCUCAUCGUCUACAAAACAUACACAGCAAUGCCCACAUCAUCAAGUAACGAAGCACACAAUUCACAGCAGGUGCUUUUAUAUAUUUCUUCAAUUAAACAUAUUUCUCACCCUUCACAAAACAUUUACUGCAAUUCCCACUACAUCAAAUAGGAAACAGCCAAUUGACAGCAGGCAAAAAAUCAAUUGCGGUAUUAAAGGGAAUGAAACAAUCAUACAAUACCCAAAACAAAAACAAAAAAAAAAUGAGUAGUAAAUCAGGAAGGAAGGGUUAUGAGGAUGAAAUACGUACUGGGAUUUCUGAGGGUGGCAUGAACAGUAUAAUGGCGGGAAAGGAGUAGCUUGACUACCCAAGAUGCCAGGUAUCCCCCUGCUCCUGUAACACACACUGUCCUGUCCUUCUUAGCCUCCCACGCUGCCAUGUCUGAUUGCUUACCAGUAGCAGUAGCGGGAUUAGUAUUUUAGCACCAAAUUCACUAUAGACUGAUCAAGAAGGUGGGUGAAGUUCUAUUCUUUUCUUUUUUAUGAAUAUUAAUUCUUUUUUGGUUGGACAAGGCAGAGAUUUCGUCGAUUCUUAAAGAGGAGGACUGAAGAAGAGGGCGGUUGGAAGAGGAGGAGGAGGCGGAGGUGGUGGUGUUGGAAUUUUGAAUAGACGAGUCCUGUAUGUAUGAGCUAGCUGAUUCCAGCAGCCUCUGUCAAUACUAGGAGUAAUCAGCAGCUGGCAGGCUUGGGGGCUUAUAUAUAGCAGCAGACCAAUGGUCCUGUUGCGAUUUGCACGGCUCAUGGAAGACGUAUGGUUUCAACGCAGGGUUGGGCUGGGUUGGGUGGGGAAACGGUACUAAUGAUAAAUGUAUGUAUAAUGAAAUUUGAGAUAUUUCUAGCAAUCUGUUAGUAAAAUUUAUUUUUAUAAAAAAAAAGGAGUAAAGGAGCAUAAUAUUAUUAAGUUAUAGUAAAACUUGAUGCACAUAUCAAUAAAACAAGAUAUUCUGUGCAUUUGAAUACAAUAGUAUAAUAUGAUUUUACCAUUGUCGGAUGUUUAACAAAUUUAUUUAUUAAUGGAUAUUAAAGUGUUACAUUUUAUCUCAUAUUUUCCCAAUUUAUGACUCAGAUUUUAAAUUGAUUAACUCAUUAGAGAAUAAAAAACUCAUCCCGUUGCUAAAUUGGACAAGUGACAAAAACUCAUGUCCAUAAUGGGAUUUUACUUCUGACUCAAAUCCUAUAAUGCGAACCAAACCCCAAAUCACUCCAUUAUAACGGAAACACAAACUAAACUAUUUAAUAUUCAAAUCAAGUUCCGCUCAAUAACAGUUUGUUCGAAUUUGAUUCGCAAACUAAUCUAAUCAAGUUAGAAUAACAUUUUAUGUUUGAAAAAAUUUUUAACUGCAGCUCAAGCUUAGCUCAAUAAUCAUAAAAUUGGAUUUUAUAGAUAAAAAUUACUCGAACUCGACUCAAUAAAAAUUCUUUUGAACGUGACUUAGUAAAUAAAAAAGCCAAUCUUGAAUACUAUUUCAAAAUUCUUUAAAAUAAAUAACAAGAUACUUGGUUUGAUUAGACACAUUCACACCCCUGUUUUUCAUAUGCUCGAUAACAUAUAUUUUUGCCAUUGAAUUUUGGGACAUGUUUAUCAUUUUUUAAAAUCUUUUUUUUUUAUUUCUGGCUUUUAUAGGAAAAAAAAAACUAAAGGAUGUGUUCGGAUAGGAGACCGAUAAACUUUUCUCUCCCCCUCGCGCCUAAUUGCAGGUUAAAAGCAGUGUUUUGAAAACCGGACCGGACGGCCGGUUCGACCGGUUGGACCGCCAACCGGCCAUGAUUCCGGUCCGAUUCUAUGCUAUAGUUGACCAGGUUAGAAAACCGGUUAAACCGUGAAAACCGCCGGACCGGAUUGAACCGGCGGUUCUCGGUUUUCGAGAUUUCCCUUUUUUUUCUUUUUUUUUCUUUUUUUUACGUUUUGCAAAAUGCAGUUAUCAAGAUUCGAACUCAAGACUUUUGUAAUAGAAGACCAAUGUAGUAACCAUAGUAACCAUUGCACCAUCACAUCUUAUUAGUUUUUUUUGAUAACUUGUUUAUAUAAAACAAAAACUCAUAUUUCUUUUUGUCAUUUUUUUUACAAAAUCUAAUCCUCUCAUAGCUCUUUCUUUUUAAUCUUCAACACACACACACACACUCUCUCUCUCUCUCACUCUCUCCUCUUUUUUUUGUCACUCUCUUUUUAAUCAAACCACUUUAUUUUUAAUUUAUUGAUGUUUUCUUCCAUCUUUUAAUUUUAUUUUUGUCCAUUAAAUUGAAAAAGGUUAAAAAAGAAUUAUUUUUCUUUAACCCAAAUUAUUUAAUGCCACAACCACUCACUUUUAUCUCAUUUUUUAUUUCUUAUCAAGUUUGCAUUUCUAUUUUCGAUUCUCUUGACUUCUUUCGAACUCCAAAAUUCCUUUUUUAAAUUGCAAUUUCUAAAUCCCAAAACGUAAAUUAAAAUUUAAGUUCACAAAAUCUAAAUUCUCAUAGACAUGAAUUUUGUAUAAUUUUAAAAUAUUAUGAUAUUUUUGGGUUAGAUCUAAGAUUUUUUUGGUAGAUAUAAUUGAAAUUGAAAUGAAAUUUAUUUGUUUUAACUUAUAAUUUAAAAUUUUUAUUUUUAAAAAAUCAAGUUAUUCAAAAAUAGUAAACUUUUCAUCAUAUAAUGUAUUAAAUUAGUCCAUUACAUGUCUUAUUUUGUGCAUAAAUAUUUACAUAAAUUAUUUUUUAAAAAAUUCAUUGAACCGAGGUUGAACCGGUCCGACCGGUUAAAUCUCGACCCUUUCACGUCACCGGUUCAAUUAACGGUCCGGUUUUUAAAACAUUGGUUAAAAGGAAUAUCCAGUUCUUAGAUAACUUUUCUAGGCACAACUCUAGUUGUCAGAAAACUGGUCUACUUUGACUGUGGGUUUUCCUUUAGUCAGGCCAUUUUGUCAUUAGUGAUGAUUGCUUCUUCUAAACCUUGGCUAACUGCACACGCCAUGCGCAUGAAACUUCUUCUAAACCUUAGCUAACUGCACACGCCAUGCGCAUGAAAAUCCAAACUUCAAAUAAAAUAAUUUGAACUCGUCAACUUGCAAAAUAAGAUAAUUUGGGUUUCGUCUGAUAUGAGUAGUAAGGGAAAAUUUAAUUACUAUAUUUAUGAUUCUUGACUAAUGUGAUUGCUCAUCUAUCACCACGCAUCAGUUUAAUACCUUAUCUUCAUUUAAAUGUGACGAUUGUAGAAUUGAUGGCUGAAACUGAAAGGAAACUGAAAAAGAAAUGUCAUGUGAGUGCAUAUGCAUGGUUAAAACAAUACUCCCACAAAUUAUAACCAAUUCGAUCCCUUGUUUUUAAGGUUUUGAUCGUUUUGGUUCCUUGGUAUCAUGACAAGCCAAUUUUGCCUCUUAAAUUUAAAAAUAUGGUUAAGGAGAUCCUUUUGAUGGAAAUUUGAGUUGCUAAUGAAGUGAAGAGACCAUUUAGUGCCUUUCGUGUCACAUCCGUCUCAACACUAUAUUAAAGUUUCAAAAAAUCUCAAAUAAGUCAUAAAACUCAUAAAACAAACCCCAAAACUCUUUAUCGUGAAGAAAAUAAAUUUUUAUAACUUUAAAAUAAAUCAAACACAAUACCUUAAACAUAAUUAUGGAAUUUGUGCCAUUUUCGAGUUGAAAUAUCAUGAAAAGGAGUACCAAAAGGUGAAAGAAAAAUGCAUAAACUUAUGUUUGACAUAGUAUUAAAAACUUUUAUUUCAUUAUAUUGAAGAGUUUUGGGUGAGUUUAGGCUUUUAGGAUUUUAUUUGAAUGCUUGGUGUUUUCUGCGAGAUGGCACGAAGUACCCUCUAAGGUCUCUUAACUCCAUUAACAACUCUAAAUUAGCCUUGACCAAAUUCUUCAAAUUUAAGAAAAAUUGGUUCGCCAUAAUACAAAGGGACUAUUUUGUUAAUACAUUGGAGAUAAGAAACCAGAUUAAUUAAUUUUUGUUGUUUGCGUAACUCAAGGGAUUUCUCCGUUAGCUUCCCACAAUUUUGCUACAUUAGUCUCUUUUGAUGGAGAUAGAGCACCAACUCACAGUUGUAUUAGAACUUCACUUACGCUAUAAUCGUUAGGAUUUUCUUAUAUUCAUCCGACUACUCAAUAAGUAUCCUAUUUUAUAAUAACUAUCCUACACCUCUUCAAAGCCUGAUAAGAUGAAGAAAAUCUCUUUACUAGCAUCUUAAUGCCUUAUAUCCAGUAUUGAGGGAAAAAAUUUAAUCACAUUACAGUCUGAGAAUUUGAAUCCAGCAAUUUCACGGUCUGAUGUAGUCACCCCAAGUAGGUUCUCCAGUAAAACAGGGUAGUGAGGCAAAAUGUACAUCAAAUAGGUCAAUUGUUGAGCCCCUCGGGGUUCGGUUCCGUGGUUGUAGCCCCAGUUGGGGGAGAGCCACGUCCAGGGAUCGAGUCCCCGUUCUACCGUGGCUGGUGAUGCUUGAGGCGGGCCGCUCCCAGCCCGCAGUGGGAUUAGUUGGGCCGUACGGUAACCAGUCCAUGGGUCCAGAUACCCACUGUGAUGAAAAAAAAAAAAUAGGCCAAUUGUCGAUCUUUGAUUAUGUCUACACUUUCAAAAGAUAGGCUUAAUCAUAUUAGUGGAAAUAACUCAUAGUUCAUCAUAUAUUAAUUUGCUAUUCAAUUUAGUUUGAAUACAUGAUCAAUGUUAUUGUAUGCCAAAAAAGAUUGAGGAUACUUUUGACCUAGUUCUUUGCACUAACUUGAAAUCUUCCAAUUGUUCUUUCUUUGAUGCACUUGCAAAAUCUCCUGCAAAAGUAAAAUAACUCAGUUGGUGAAUUUUGGCUAACUGAGAGGCCCCAUCUUCUUUUUACUUCUUUAGCACAAGCGAAGAAUGAAUUUAUGCAUAAUAACCGUGUGAUUCUAAUGAGAUAUGAUUUUUUUGGUUUUGCAUGCUGGUUAAACAAUUGUUCAAGCUCUUAUCUUGGUUUUUGAUACUUCACCGGUAUGUGGAUGUUACUGCUAAAGAAAUUUACAUUUGUCAUUAGAAGAAUUUUCUAUUUUAUGACUGGCAAGUGAUUUGGUAUCUUAGCAGUUCAUCGAUUUUGGUGCUUUGUUUACAAUUUAAUUGGCUUCAAUGGUCCAUACAUAUAGGAACUUGGAAUUUACCCUUUUAUUUCCUUUUGCAUGAGCAAAGAUUAGUAAUUUUUAAUCAUAAUUUUCGAUUCCUCUAUUCUGGCCAUAGUGAAGAAAUCUACCUUUUUGUACUUGUGUAUAUGCACACCAAACAUCAUUGGGCUGUCUACUUUUGACAUUAUUCUUGAAUUACUCAGUUUAGAAUGUGUAUUAGCUGCUGGAAGCAAAUGCAUCAUCGUUGGCAAUUACCAAACAGAAAAUAUGCAUGCCAUUACUAUUUUCACUGAAAUUAGCAUCUAACUUAUAAUGAUCUAAUUAAAGGUUAACCACAUUGGUUUUGACUAGAACUAAGAGAUCACUAGCCCUCUUAUUUUUGGAUUUGCAUUAAUCCAGUAUCAUCAAACUUCUUCAAAUGGGCUCUUUAGCUACUAACCCCUUCAAAAAUAAUUUAGGCUUACGGUUCUGUUGAUGUCGCAAUUGCAGGAGGUUCAGAAGAUAACGAAAGGCUCAUCUAAGAUUUCUUAAGGUGUUUGGCUUAUAUUGCUAGAUUUACUUAAUCUAUUUUCAUUCUUCUCCGAUGUCAUUAUUGUUAAAGUUCAAUUCAUAAGUUGGUUGUGUUAGAAAAUUGGCUUAAUUUCUUUUUAGAUAGGUUUUUGUUUUGUGCAAAAGUAACUAGUUUCCUAAUUGGUUUUAGUUACUCGGAAUAGUAGCCAAGAAAUUUCUUAUUUUGUUUAGAAUUAGAAGUUAUUUCUUAUUUUCUACAAGUCUAGGAAUUAGAAUUAAUUUCCUGUUGUUAUUUGGAUUUUUUGACCAAAUAAUAUUUUUAUAAAUAGGUGGGUUGGCAUACUAUAAAAGAGACACAUAAGGGCACACAAGGACGACAUGUAACCUUAUACAUGGGUGGUGAGAGAGAGUUCUUAGGAGAUGAGAAAUGGUAUACAAAGGUUGGACUUGAGUUCGAGUUGUAUUCCUGUAUAAGGUUUUUCUCUCAUAAUAAAUAACAAGUUUCUCUCCGUGGACGUAGGUUCAAUGGAGUCAAACUACGUUAAAUAUUGUGUGUUGUUUAUUUUUUAUACUUGUGGCUUGUUUCUCAUUAAAUUAUUGUGUACUUGAUAUCUUAAUAGUUAUUUAUUCUGCAUUUAGUUCCUAACAAAUGGUAUCAGAACUUGAUUGCGAGAUUGGGCUGCUCACAAGCACUUGGAUCCCAACAAACUGAAUAGUUGGAUCAAGAGUUUGGUUGUUCAAGGAUGGAUCCUAGUUAGCUAUUGAGAUCAAGUAGGUUGGUGACUGUUACCAAUUGAACAAUUUAAUGGGCGGUAUCCUUAUUUCAAGAGUUUGGCAAAAAAGCAUUGACGGUGAAUGAUGAAAAGUCGAAAAGCAUGGAGAUACUUGACGGUGAAUCUAGGCAGAUGAUUCAAGAGUCAAGGAAAAUGUGGAAUCCAAUAUCGAUUUUGGACGUGAAUCGGUGGAGACUUUCUUACAACUUCAACGGUUGAUACUUCAUCUCGGUGAUUUUUAGAUUUCGCUUAUGUUUUUUGAGUGGUACGGCACGUGUCCCAAAAAAAUAAAGAGAUUUAAUUUCUAUGCGCUAGAAGACUCUGACAGUUACGAGUCUUUUGUUUCAGGUGAAUUUUUGGAAACCACACGUGGCGAGAUAGUCUUGAGGAAGGGAAGAAGUAUGAUGAUUUUAUCACUUGGUUGCCUCAAUGAUUAAGGUUAGAGCUCAUACAAGGAGAUUUUGGGUUGCAAGUGGUGGUGAGAAGAAAUCCUGUAAAGAAAAAUGGUGAAUUGAGGCAUCUUCUCACGAAUCAACUGGAGGUUGUACUAGGUGUAAAUACACAUAUUCAUUUGGCAAUUAAAUCAAUUUGGUAUCAGAACUGUAUUGAUUCGGGUGUGUAGUUCGGUACCAUAUUAUUUGGUAGUUGAAAGUAAAUAAUUGUUAAAAGAAAUUUUCGCCAAGAUAGAGAUUUGUUAGGAAAUUGAUUUAAUUUCUUUUCAGACAGGUUUUUGUUUUGUGUAGAAGUAACUAGUUUCCUAAUUGGUUUUAGUUACUUGAAAUAGUAGCCAAGGAAUUUCCUAUUUUGUUUAGGAUUAAAAAUUAUUUCCUAUUCUAUACAAGUCUAGAAAUUAGAAUUGGUUUCCUAUUAUUAUUUAAUUUUUUGGCCAAAUAAUAUUCUUUAUAAAUAGGUGGGUUGGCAUACUACAAAGAGACACACAAAAGCACACAAGAGACGACAUGUAGCCUUAUACAUGGGUGGUGAGAGAGGAUUUUUAGGAGAUGAGAGAUGGUAUACAAAGGUUGAAUUGGGGUUCAAGUUGUGUUCUUGUAUAGAAUUUUUCUCUUAUAAUAAAGAACGAGUUUCUCUCUGUAGAUGUAGGUUCAAUGGUGGAGCCGAACCAUAUUAAAAAAUAGUGUGUCAUUUAUCUUUCAUGUUUGUGGCUUGUUUCUCAUUAAAUUGUAGCGUACUUGAUAUCUCAAUAGUUGUUUAUUCCAUGUUUGGAUCCUAACAGACUGCUAAACCAAGAUUGAUGUAAUUGCGUCCUGUAAGAGAGUUUGCAAUUCAAUUGAUUAAGGGAAGAACAGAGAAAAUCCCUGAAAAUGGGAAUUAAAGGAAACAAAGGAAACCCUAAAACUAGUUUCCAAGAACAAUUCUGUCGAAGACAGAAAACAAAGAAAAUAGUAUCAAAGGCUAUAUCGUUAUUUAGGAAACAAGAAGCACUUGAAGGUGAAUGUUGCAGAAAGUAGAAGAUCCCACUACAAUUUACUAAUUCAAGGAGCUGUAAUUAAGAAAGAAAGAAGACAACUCAGAGAAUUAGGGAUUGUUAUUAAUUGAUGAAUGAGUAGGAAGAAUGUAGAUGAAGAUGAUAAUCAAUUACAAGUAAUGGAAAUCGGAAAUCCAAGAACUGCCUUCAACUUACCACCCUCCUCUCUUUUAUUCGGCUACUACACUUGUCCAAGUCAGCUAAUUCAUUACAACCAACCGACAUACAAGAAUUAUAAGGAUUUAUUCAUUAAGUCCCUAUCAUACUCGCUUUAUUACAAAAAAAAAAAAAAAAAAAAACCCUAUCAAUAAAACUAAGGUAACAAACAAUGUUUUCAGAACCGGACCGGACCGGCUGGUUCGACCGGUUGGACCGCGAACCGGCCAUGUCACCGGUCCGGUCUAAUGCUAAAGCCGGAAGUUCAUGGAGAACCGUUGAAACCCGGACGAACCGGACGAACCGUGCGAACCGUUAAGAACCGUGAACCGGCGGUUUUUUAAAUUCUUCAACAAAAUAUCAAGAAUGGUGUAGCUAAGAUUCGAACCUGGGUCUCCAAGUUUGGAUAUGACAAUCUCACCGCUAGACUGUAGUUAAAUUUGUUGAGAAUUCUACUUGACUAAAAAAUAUAUUAAAACAUCAAGUUCUUCUCUUAUUUUUUUUUCAAUUUUUUCUUCUUAACCAUUUUUAACCCAAAUAUCCACAACAAGAUUUUCUCAAGUCUUCACCAUUAUUAUCAGGUUAUUAUCUUUAGCAAAUUGUAAACAAGUUGAAAAUUUCAACUUUUCUUGUUUUCCAACAUCUUAGUAAGUUUAAUUUUUUUCUUUUCAAGGUUUUUUUUUCUAUAUUAUUAUCUUUAGUUGAUUUUUUGCAUUUUCUUCUUUUUCCCCUCAAUUUUCAUAUGUUUCCCUCAUUUUUGUUUUAUUUUUAUUCGAUUAAUUAAGGAUGAAAUUUUUGCAAAAGUAGUGCACAUUCGUGUAGGAAUUGGGUAGGAAUUACAAAUAAUAACAUUGGGCUGGUCAAAAAUAUGGUAGUUGGCACAUAAUCGAAGCUAUUGAUAAUUGAAUUUAAAAUAAUUAAUGGUAUAGGAUCAUUGAAUUUAAUAUAACAUGUUAAUUAGUAAUGUUUAGUAGCAAUUAAUUUUUUAUGUGUUUAACUGUAUAUUUGUUUUUCAAAAAUUUUUAGUUUUUUUUAGUUUGAGCAAUUAGAUUUAUAUUUUUAUAAUAAAAUUUUAACUUUUUCAUCUUAAGUUGAUGAAAUUGUGAAGGUGGUGUGGUUGCUUAUCAGGCCACUGAUAAAAGUUUGCUAUUCAAAUAGUUUGUCUUAACUUGAACUCUUUUAUGGAUUUUUUUAAGGGUUGUAAAAGAAUUUCAAUAUUUAAUUUAUUUAUUUUUUGUGUUUUUAUUUGUGAUAAUUGGUGAACAUUUGGAUUGUAUCUAUUUAUGUUUAUAAUGAAUUUAUGAAAACUUAUGGUGAAUUAUGAUAUUUUAAUUAUAUUUAUCAUUCCAUGUUUUAUGUAUAAUUUUUAGAAAAUUUAUUAUUAUCAUAACUUAAAUUAAGUUAUGUUGGUAAAGUUCAAGUGUAGAAUGAAACCUACUUAGUACUUAACAAAAAAAAAAAAAAAAAAAAAAAAACAGUGAACCUUUGAACCGGCCGGUUGGACCGGUCGGACCGGUCGAACCGCGAACCGGCCACCUCUCCGGUUCACUGACCGGUCCGAGUUUAAAAACAUUGGUAACAAAUACUUCCCCCUCAGAGAAUCCUUGUCCUCAAGGAUUAAAUUCAGGAAAUUGUUGUUUAAGGUCAAACCAGAAUUCCCAGAUAGCAUCUUCAAGAAAAGAAUUGCUUCACUAUGCCAAAACUUUUGUAGCAAGAGAGUUACCACAUUUCACCAAUUUCUGAUCAAGUAUGGCUAUAGGCUCCAUUAAUAAUUAUCCCUGUGUAUUGAUUGUGUAUUGAUUGCAAAAGGAAUGUGUGAGGUAACUAGUGAGUGCCCACUUUCUUCUUUAGAAGAGAUACAUAAAAAAUAGAGUGUAUUUUUGCCAUAUUAGGCAGCUAAAGCUGAUAUGCAACAGGGUGUACUCUUUUGAUCACUUGGAAAGGUCCAAAAAACUUAGAAGCUAACUUCUGACAAGAGUGUACCUUCAAAGAGUGUUGCCUCUACAGUUGUAGUUUCACAUAUACCCAAUCUCUUGCUGAGUACUGUCUAUCAGACCUGUGUUGGUCAGCUUGUUGCUCCAUCCUAUUUUGUGCCUUAUGAAGGUUGUACUUUAAGUGAUGCAAAACUAUCUCCCUUGCUGCCAAGAUUCUAUCCACCACUUCCACUACUGAAUUCCCAAGUAGACAAGGCAUAUGCAGAGAUGGUGCAUGACCAUACACCACCUCAAAUUGGAUAACCUUAGUGGCAGCAUGAAAUUUGGUAUUGUACCAAUAUUCAGCCAAGGGUAACUAGAUAGACCACUGCUUUGGAAAAUCUCCACACAUGCACCUCAAAUAUUACUCCAAACACCUGUUUACCACCUCAGUUUGACCAUCUGACUGAGGGUGGUAGGUAGAAGAGGUAUUAAUCUGCACUUUUAGUAACUUAAAAAGUUCUUGCCAAAAAGUGCUAAUGAAGACCACAUCCUUGUCACUAACAAUGCUCUGAGACAAGCCGUGAAGUCUACAGAUCUGAUCCAGGAAUAUGUGCAAAUAUAAAUGCUGAAUAAGCAUGUGACAAUGCCAAGAAGUGUGCAUACUUACCUAACUUGUCAACCACCACCAAGAUGGCUUGUUUACCAUGUGCAUUAGGUAAACCUUCCAUAAAGUCCAUGGAAAUUCACUCCAAACCUUUUGAGGCACACGUAAAAGUCGUAAUAAACCCAAAUCAGCAGUAUUGUCAUAUUUGUUGCACUGACAGACAUCACAUGCAGCCACAUAGUUGACUAUGUCUUGAUACAUUCUUCUCUAAUAAACCACUGACUUCAACUUCUUUUAGGCAGCAUAAACUCCUGAAUGCCUCCAACAGCACUAGAAUGCCACAAGUGAAUUAUAUUAUUCUUGAAUUGGCAGUCAUUUUCUACCACUAGUCUCCCCAUCCUCCUUAACUGCAAGUUGCUCCAUGUGUAAUAAGGUGAGACCUUAGAAAGAUCAAAUUGUAAUUGAGUGAUGAAGUUCUAUAGCCUUAUAUCUAUUUGCCAUCCCUUUUUAAUCACUAUCAAAGAUCACUGUUAACAAUGAUGAUGGCAAGAGCUUCUCUUGGUUCUGCUAGUUUUCUAAAGAGAGUAUCUCUCACCAUAUUAUAUGCUUCUUUCCUGUAGUGAAGCUCAUAAUAAAAUCUUACUAGCUUAGCCAUCCAUUUCUGCUGCAUAAGAGUAGGGCUGUCAAUGGUCCGGGUCUAGACCCGGACCCGAACCGGAUCCGUCAAAUUUAUUCGGGUAUGGGUAGGGAUUUAAUUCCGUUACCCGGACCCGGAUCCGGAUCCAUUUUGCCAAACAAAAAAACGGGUCGGAUACGAAAUAUAGUAUUCCGACCCGUAUUGGACCCGGAUCCGGAUAUAAAUGGAUUACUAAUUUAAAAUAUAUAUAUUUAUUAAUAUAAUUUGAUUAGGAUGAUGUAUUUGAGUAAUCAAUAUAAUUGGACCCGGAUCCUAAUCAAUAUAAUUUGAUUAGGAUGAUGUAUUUGAGUAAGGUUAAUUUGAUUUCUUUUCUUAUUUGAUUUUUUUUGUAUUAGUUAGAAAUUAGUUUAUAAAUAUAUGUUUUUUCUCAUUUUUGUUAGAAAUUAUAAAUUUUGUUAGUUUUUUUUCGGGUAGACCCGGAUCCGGAUCCGGGACCCGUCGGAUCUGGAUCCGGAACAUAGAGUAAAGACUCAUCGGGUAAACGAGUCGGGUCCGGAUCCGAUAUAGUGUGCCGGGUCCGGGUCUGGAAUAAUGAAUUCCGGCCCGGACCCAGCCCGUUGACAAGCCUACAUAAGAGUGUUCAAUCUUUGUUCCAUCAUAUAUUCAAUGCUCUAAUGGUCAUUUUUAAUGAUAACGUACCUUCCAGGUAGAUAAGGUCUCCACUUCUAUACAGCAGCAACUAUGGCCAAUAUUUGCACUUUUCCAAUAUACUAUCAUAUGCUAUUCCCCCACACACCUAAAUCUUACAUUGUCCCCAAUGUAAAAUAAAGAAUAAAAGAAAAUUAAUGGGGAUAACGAAACUUCCUUGAUAACUGAGGGGGCCGUCGACAGCUACAGGUGAGGGGCGAAUGACUGUGGAGCUCGACGUAUGUUGAUGGUUGGCGGCGGUGGAGUUCGGAUGGAAGAAAGAAAGAAAGAAGAAAGAAAAAGAAGAGAGAAAGAAAGAAAGAAAAAGAAAAGGAAAAAGAAAGGAAAAGGAAGAGAAAAGAAAAGGGAAAUACGAAUGGGAAUUGCUCCAAUCCGAGCUGGUUUUUUGUACUAUUACUUUGCUUCUUGUACGAAGCUUGAAGAUGCAGCAAGCGCGGAAAUUUUUUUUUUUUUACAUCUGAUUUUGAUUUUUUUCUUUUUCCUUUUCUGUAUUUCCUUUUCUUUUCUUUCUAAUUUUUCUGCAAAAACAAUCAAAUAGAAAUCAAAUGAGAUGGAAUGAUUUUUUUUAAAAAAAAGGUAAAAAUAUAAAUAGAGAUAAAUAAAUAAUAAAUAAAUAAUAAUAGUUAUUAACAAAUCAUAAAAUGAUUUAUGAAAUUUUUUUGGUGUCUACAUAUAUACACAUACUAAUAAUUUUUAUAUUUAUAUAUUUUUCUUAUUUAAUCUUACCUAUAAUUCUUUCUUAUUUUAUUUACUUUCUCUAAUUAAUUUUAUAUUUUUAAAAAUAUAACAUCUAAAAAUAUAUAUUAACGAAGAGGACAUCCGUUAGACAGGUCCUAUUUUAUGUAGCAUAUAUGUCUCUACAUGAAAAAAACUUUUUUAAUAGGUAUCCCGUUUUUUGACAUGAAAAAUACCUUUUGACUACAUUCUGACUAGCGCCAAAAGCUAUCCACUUUUGACAUGCUGCCCAUGGAGGCCUAAUUUUUUUUAGUACUGAAUUUGUUUUGGAUACGUUAGUAUUUCUUGAAUUUUAGAAAAUGCUUCUCUUUAAUAAAUGUAAGUUCAUUUUAAUCUUGAUUCGCAAGCUUUUUCUCGUAAAUGGUUUGCCAUUUCUUAUUAGUUGUUACAGUAAAUUUAACAUGCAUAUAUGCUUUUUGUCAAAAUUCAAUCAUUUCAAAAUCUAGAAGGGAACUUCUAAAAUACCUGCAUCCUCCUUUUUCUUUUUUCUUUUUUAUUUUUCCCCCUCUUGGCUUUGUAUUCAGAAUCAGAUUGUGUUCAAUUAGUUGGAAUUUGGCUUUGGAGUUAGAAGGGAUUUCCAUUUUUUCCUAGGUAUUCCACAGCUUGCAUACCAAAAGCACAGAGGCGGAAGAAAACCUAUGAUUAAAUCAUACAACAGGCUUGUAAGAAAAUGCCCACUUUGAAAAAAAUGAAAAGUUGAAUUUCCUAUUUUCAAAUUUACAUGCAAAAAAUGAAAAAUGACAUGCAAGAAAUAGUCUACUAUUUCGCAAUGUUUCAUAGUUAUGAGAAAUAUAUUACAAAUAAAUCCACAUAAAUGGUGGGAAUAAUAACUCAAAUAUGGUGGGACAAAUAAACAUACAGGGUGACCCCUGCCAGCUGAGAUAACUAGCUGGUUUAUUUAAUUUAAUAGUUUGAAUACAAUAGUAAAUCAAUGCCAUAGCUCAGAUACUGACUAAAUUUUUCUCCCUGAAGAAUUCAACAGCAUCUUUUAGGCUGACCUCCAAAGGAGUGAAUCCAACUCCCAACCUUUUUGCCUUCUCAUUGGAGGCUCUGUAGUUUGGGCUGAUAAGGUUGGUAUUGUUUGACAUUCUGCUGUAUGCGGGACAAUACACAAUUAUGGCAAACAUAAAUAAAGCUUAGGUAAUGAAAAUGCAAAUGUAAAUUCAAAUGCUUGAAAAUCUACUGGACAAUUGCCUCAUAUCUACUGUAAAUUGUGCCUUUUUUACGAAGUUUCAAAAGACCUUUUAAAAGAUAACUUUAGUUGUGAUAUGAAUGAAAUUUAUUUUUCUCUAAAAAAAAGCCUAAAACGGAAUUUCUAUUUUGGAGACAAAGCCAAUUUGGUGAUAUAUCCUAGUCCAAAGAAGACCAUCUUCUAGAAAUCAACCUGAGAAAGAGCUCAUUUUUUAUGGAACAUGAGACCAAAAGAAAAAAAAAAGAAGGCAGAAAAUUUAGGAUUUAGUGUCCUUUAAAAGAGAGUAUAAAAAUAUGUGAUACAUUUUGGACGUAUACAAGGCCAUCAGCAAAAGCCUGCAAAGACCUAAACAAGGAAAACAAGACUUACUUAUCAGGAAAUUGGUGAGUUGGGUAAUGCUCAUGCAAAAUCUUGAUGAUCUGAGAGGCAUUUGCACAUCUUUCAACCAGACAAUAUCUUCCACUUGCAGAAGGGGUUUCAAGGGCAAGAACAUGUGCAUAGGCAACAUCUCUAACAUCAACCCAGCUACAUGUUGCCUUAGGAAAUGGUUCAACCCCUGCAUUUGGCACCUAAGAUCUUUAAACACAUUUUUUUGCAGGCUCUUCAGCAACAUAAGUGAAACUGUGCAUACAAUUAAAUACAAUGUUGUUUGCCAUGAAAAGAGUCAAAUUUAGAGGCCUUCCAGAAGAAAUGUGUUGUAUGUACUACUUUGUUCUGUUUUAGUAUCAGCAAAGCCACAGAGGGGAGGGAGAUGUGAGGAAUGAACUAGUUGAGACAAUUCAGAUAAUUGGUGAAUAAUAAGAAAGAUUAAUCCCAACAAUCUACUAGCUAAUCUGUCCCUGGAAUUUCUCAGAUUUAGAGUUAGGUUUCUCUUUCAAAGGAUAGUUUAUUUAUUUAUGUGAGGAAUAAACAAGCUUUAGCAAGUCUGAACAACAUAAACAGUGACUACUCCUAACAAAUUUUUCCUCACAAUUACCACCCAAAAAUUUCUUUUCCUUCCUGUUAAUCACAUAGAACCUCAAUGUUGUUGAAAGGAAGAUGCACACAACGUGAAUUUCAGAUGAAAGAUUGUCCUGCAAACCUUUAAAACAUCAUAAGCUGGUCAGAGUUUAUAGCUUGAUAUAUCAGUUCACAUUCUGACCUAUGUCUGUCAAUCAUGUGAUUAGCCAGCAGUGCCUUGAAAUGUUAUUAGUCAUAAGUUUUUUGUUCUACUGUAACAAAGAAAGUUGUGGUGCAUAAUAAAGCUAUAACUAACAUAGAUGGAAGAGUCAGUUAGACAAUGAUUACUAAGGUGAUUCAAUAAAUUUUGAAACAAACCCUUUAAUAGGUUGAGGAACAAAACAGCGCUCGAAUUAACAGAUGGCUGCAAGAGAGGACCAAUGACCAAUCCUGGAUGAAUUGUAAUCACGUCAAUGCCAUGAUCCUUUGCAAAUUUCCAUGCAGCAUUCUCGGCCAUGGUUUUUGAAAGUUCAUACCAAGACUAUCAACACCAAAAAAUCAGUAAAUGUUGGUAAGAUGGUAGCAGAAAGUAAUUAGAUUUGUAAACUUUAAGAAGUAACAUUAUAAAUUUAUACAAAUUUGACAAAACCAGCAGCUAACAUCAGUUGGAACUAUUAUUGCUGUAGCUACAGACCACAGAGUGAAAGUAUCCUCAUUUCCUAGGACAAGCUAUGCUCUAAGUGAAUAAGUAGAUUUCUCAAGGAUCCUAGCAAUGGUGUAAACUUUUUAUAUUCAAGGAAUGAUGCAAAGCACCAGAGUGUCGACAUAUCCUGAUCAUCUGAUCUCUUAAUCCACAAGUUAACAGCAAAACUACAAGGGACCUUGACACUUGAACACAUAGAGCCAUAUUCAUGAUAUUAUAGCAGAAGUUCCUUUUCAACUGACCAACCAAAUAUUCUAGGUGUGUAUUCUCAGACAAUAGUAUAGAGUUUGAUAAUGCAAGAGAUGCAUAAUUGAGUAGGAAAACUUUCAUAUUGCUCUUUCCUCGACUAUUCCACACUACAUUAUUAAUUUUUCAUUAAAGUUAAGUUGUUACUUAGAUAGAAGGAAAGAAAGGGACUGACCAUUCUGGUCACAAAAAUAUCCUUCUUUUUGCCUAUUAAAGUACCACCAAGUCAUGAAGAUCCUAACUUAAUUAUCUCCACAGCUGGGCUAACUCCUCAUAUGUGUCCCAAUAACAAGUUAAAACUAAAGAAUUCCAGCAUUCCAUAUUAGAUUUUACUGGAAGAAGACAGAUAAUAUGUGUACCUUUUGCUCCUCACAGUAUGAUGGAUCGGAAAACCAACUUUCAUCAACUACCACAUCCUCCUUUAAUUCUCUGUUUUCUGAAACUGCAACCAUAGAGGAUGUUAUAACUACUCUUUUGACAGAAGAAGAAUUUGCACAUGACCGCAGCACAUUCAGUGUUCCACUUACUGCAGGUUCCAGUAGUUCUGCCUAUGAAAUCAAACCAAGUAAAAAAGGAAGUCAUUACCAGUCAUAGGUAAGACUAUGCUUUUAACCUGCAAAAAACUUAUCAUUCUGGUAUUAUGUUUGAGAAUUUCACCACAAAUGCUGUAAACCUACAGCUUUAGUUACUUAGCUAAAGGAUGCAUAUAGUUGUCUUAUCUCCUCUUGCUGCUAAAAUAAGUUCUCAGGUCCUUUAUUGUUGUUUUUUCCCAUAUUAGUUACUUAAGACCGAUAGAGGAACAACUGAAAUAAGUCUCAGAUGUGGUCACCAAUUAAACCGUUUGGUACCAAAUAUCAACCGAUGAAAUUCUGUUCUGGCUUGAACAGGACAGACAGAAAAUAUAAAAGGUGUAGCUCCCAUGAAUCCUGCGAACAGAUUUUAGCGUGAACACAUAAUGCAUGUUGCAAUUUCUUUUAGUGUCUAUGAGUCAACCUUGUUCAUUGAAAUGACUAAAAUCAAAGUUCUACAAAGUUACUUAAAUAAAAAUCCAUAAACACAAUUUGAGAAACAGACAAUGAUAAGUGUACUGCAUAAAAUUUUAAGGCACAAUCAUUAAUAGAAGUUAAUCAACUUACAAAUGAAGAUACAUAUAAUUUGCAGAUGCUUGAACAUAUAUUGUAGUUUCUAUAAGCUUCUUAUUCAUUCUGGUAUGGGCACGCAAAAGCUAUUGGCUCUACACUGGCUGAAUAAUUAGUUGGUCAAAGCAGGGAUUCAUUUGCUCCAGGACAAGCUUAUAGCUUGCUCUAUAACCUUACCCUGACUGACUUACCCAGGAAAAUAGUUAGUCGGACCCAAUCUACUGCCCAAUUGUGGACCAUUUGCUAUGUUUAUGGCUCUUAAUGUUUUUAUUUCACAACAUUACACCCUUUGAAUUGUUUCUCUGAAGUACCAAUUUCCAGAUCAUUUCAUAGAAACAUCAUGUAUACUGAUUAAAAAGAGACUAAAGCACAUAACACACGACAGUCUUUUUUGUGAAUGACCUGCAGGAACAGAUUAGUUUUGUAUGUACCAAAUGUAAAGAAAUAUUCUUCAGGUGUUUGACCUGAUUGCUACAUUAAUCUCCUCCCUUUGGUUAAUAAAAGAAAACGUAGAGCCAUAGAAUUGGAAACAUGGUUCGCCAUCGCGGGUCGCGGUCGCGUCACGGUCUCAGUUGUUCCACAUCCGUCGCGAUAUAUCGGUUGAAUAUCGGGUGAUACGAACAAUAUAACACAUUAAAGUUUUCAAAAAUUUUGAAAAAAUUACUAAAAUUAGAAAAUACUAAAAAAGACACAAUUUAAAAAAAUAUCGGAGUCGACUCCGAGUUGACUCGGAUAUAUCGGCCGAUAUCAUGCAUCACGAAUUCGAAUCGAUCAAUAUCGGCCGAGUCAGAGCGAGUCAUCGCGGAUAUGGUGAUAUCCGCGAUUCGGGGAUCGGUAUCGUAUCGGUCUCUUCUGUUCCAGAUACGACUCGGCCGAUACGUAUCGGUAUCGGCCGAUAUGGCGAACCAUGAUUGGAAACAUUUGAGUCUAACUCUUUUUUUUUUUGCCUUUACAGUUAUAACCUUGUCAUAAAUCACAUAUAGAGGAGUAGACUAUCACCCAAAAAAGCCAGUAAAAAUGCAACAGAGGAAGAUACUAAAAGAAGUCGCACAAUUAUAAAUCAGAAAGUAUGCUACGAUUUUCAAACUUCAAGAGAUAAAUAGCAGAUUUUGUAGACAGUAGAGAAUUUCCAAUCUUGUAAAGCAAAUGUACCUCUGGAUUGCUGAAUGAAAGUUUGAUUGGAGAUGCAGUAUGGAAAACCCCUUCACAUCCCUCGACUAUUGCAUCAAACGAUCCCUCUUCUAGUAAGUUUGCCGAGUACAACUGAAGCCUUUCCUUAGCUCCAUCAAGUGAUGUCAAAUGUUGUGUCCUUUCCGGAUCAUCUGUGUCAUGAUUGCAUCAGUAGAAUGUUCAGACAGCUAUAGUCAAAACCAUGCCGCCUUGGUAAAGUGUACUAUGUUUUCACUAUGGCGCAACUCAAGAAGCAAUGGACUUAGAGCAAUAAUAAACGAACCUCAAAGCAAUGAUAAAUUUGACUAGCUAAAGGCAAGCGGGGAAAAACGAAAAGAAAUUGACGGGCAACAUAAUAUGACCACAAUAAUAUCAUAGCCCUAUGAUUUCUGGUUUUAAGAUGUGUACAUUUGUAACUUUCUUGAUAACAAUUAAUUCUUGAGAUAAUUAUCAGAGGGACAAUUGUAUGCCAUCUACCACUAUUUUUAUAACAAACUCAGUCCUUCAGAAGAAGGAUAUAGAUUCGAUAGGCUAAAGAUUUUUUAGUGUAACUUGAUCGUUGUAUCUGGAGCAUGAAACAUUACUGUUAAGGUAUACAUUAUAUAGUUUCAGCUACUCAAAUAUCAAUUAGGUUGGUCCACAUCAAUUUUUUUUUUUUGCAUGUGAUUUUCUUUUGAGCAAACAGAACAUGGGGAGCAUUUAGCCGUUGCAAGAAUAUCAUCUGGAGCUACAAAACAAUUUCACACUGCAGAGUUGAAUAAAAAUGUUGGGCAAAUUACAUAUAAUCCUCCUGUGGCUUUGUUUGUUGCCACAUGACCCUUCUAACAUUUUAAAAUAUCCAAUUCACCCACUAUGAUUUUAUGUAAAGCGGAAACUUGAUGGAGAAUAGCCUAUAUAAUGUCGUUAAUUGAAAUACCAUUAGUACUUUUACUUAAAUGCUAAAUCGACAAUUUAAUUACCUUCUAUAAAAGUAUAAGUGGAUUAUAUGGAUAAAUAUAAAAAUCACAGGAGGGAUAAAGUGGACAAUUAUAUAUAAGAGAAUUACAUUGAAAUUAAGACUUUAUCACACGCUUUUAGAGCGCGUUUGGUAUAAAUGCCGUAACUAAUUGUGCAUUCCAUCAUUUUCCGCUUUACAUAUAACUAUGGGGGUAUGUGGCUAUUUUGAAAUCUUAGGGGACCAACUAGCAUUAUAUAAAAUCACCCUAAAAUAUAGUUAUAAGUAAUUUACCCUAAAAUGUUAGAUUCCAGGAGCAAUUAAACAACAAUCAGAACAGGGCAUCAAAAACUGCACAAGCCACUAAGAUAGUUGAUCAAGAACAAAAACUGGACUUACAGGCAUCUCGAACUGAACCUUUAACAGUAUAACCGCGCUCGAGCAGCAGCUUCACCAGCCAUGAAGCUAUGUAACCCGAAGCUCCGGUCACACACACCAUUUUCCCUUCUCCUGCUCCACUCAUUUUGUUAAUAUUUUUGUGUGUGAACCUGUCACCUGUUUGCCUUACUUCUGGACUUAAUGGAGGGAGGCAUAUAUGGUGUAUAUAUAGCUAUGGUGAAGAAGACGAAAGAUUGGAUAUGAGAUUACUGGGAGACUGGGGAGAUCCAUAUGUAUUCUUGCAAUUUGCAUGCAUCAUCGCUGACAUACGUAUGGUAUAAUCGCGUCACAUCCCAUUUUAUCAAGGUCAAUUGAUCAGUGUAAAAUAGAAAUGAACAAUAAAUACAAUGGUAAAUUACCUUCUACACCCUAUGGUUUGAUGUUUUAUCACAUAACUCCCUAUAAUUUAAAAACCUAUAUAUGACCCUUUCGUAGUUUGGGUUAUUGUGUCACUUUAGCUUGUUCUGUUAAAACUAACGGUCAAUAGUAAAAAGUCAAAUUCAAACUACUAAAUUGACAAAUUCACCAUUUCACUACUUUUUUUUUCUUGUUUUCCUUUUCUUUCUUUCCUUUUUUUUUCUUGGAAAGAGAAGAGAUGACUUUGAAAACUUGUAUUUUGGCUUACAAAACCUUAAUUGUUUCCAAAUACAAAAGAGACAGAAGGGAAAUAAAAAUAAAUCAACAAGAAACAAAAAAUAUGGAAGGUAAAGAUAUAACAAAUAAAUAAGAAACAAAAAAACACCAAAUCUUUUUUACUAUGAAUAUCAUUAUAGGUUUUUAAACCAAAUCUUUAAUAGUAUUUUCUAGUUCUUAUUUAUCUAUUUUUUAUUCCAAUUUCUUCUUUUUGAUGUUUGGAGGAAAAAAAAAAACAAGUAAUGAAGGGAUAAAUUUGUCAAUUUAUUAGUUUGACUUUUUAAUAUUAACUGUUAGUUUUGACGAAAAAACUAAUAAUGACACAUUAACUCAAAUCAUGAGGGGGUUAUAUAUAGUUUUUAAACUAUGGGGGUUAUGUGAGAAAAUACCAAACUAUAGAGGUUAAAAUGCAAUUUAGCCUAAAUCCAAAAUUUGGCGGUUGCAUAUGAAAAAAUAACAAGGUUCUUGACUUUGCUCAAUACAAUUCCAAGUCUAGAGACACAAUUUUUAAAUUCACUACCAGGAUAAACCAUUCUCCUUUUUUUUUUCCAUUUUUUCGGGUUAAAAAGUACAAACUACUUGAACUAGAAACUAGUCCUGACAAAGUUUGUGGGUUUUUUGCAAGAGUUUUAGUUAAAUAUUGGUUACUUCGCCUAAUUUGCACCUAUUUUAUCAUGUAAAUGCAUGCACACUUUUAAAAAAUAAUGCAUGCACUUAUAUUAUUGCCUUUCUUACAUUUAAAUACUUUUUUCAAUUUAAUUUUACUUUUCUGGCAAAACUAAAUCUGAAGCCCAUUUCAAGAAAUAUCCACCGAAUACCAGGUCAACAAACCCCCUUCGUAAUAAAGAACGAAAAGGACCGCAGCGGUCUUUAACUUUUUUUUUUCUGACAUUUUCUUACUGAAGUAAGAAAACUGGUCCACACCCUUGAACACGCAGCGGUCUUUAACACGCAGCGGUCUUUUUGCAUCUAAGAAAGCUUUUGAUUGGCUAGAAAUCCUUCUCUGAUUGAGAAAUGGGAAUUGACUUGAUGAUGGCAACUCCAUUUAGAAAACUGGUCCACACCCUUGAAUGUGGUUUAAAUUUAAUAACACCAUUUCAUCAUUUCUGACGACUGCUUCUUCUAUAUCCUAGCUCACUGCACACGCCAGUCGUGUGAAACUUGGCAAAAGAGUUGCACCCUCCGUCCUAAAAUUGUCUGUCGCAUUUCGAGAUCCAACUUUUUAAAAAUAGCAUGAUGAUGAUAUUUGUAGAUUUGUUUUAAAAAUUGUCAUCAAAAAUUCAAAUUUUAAAUUGAAUUUAGUAUGAAAUAUAGAUAAAGAUUGGAAUAACAUUGAAAAAAAGAGAUGAAAAGUUAUUUUGAUUUUGAUAAGAUGAUAAAUAUUUUAGAACGUUUCAAAAUAAAAAAAAUAUAUGACAUUUUCAAUGAAACAAAAGGAUGGAGAGAAUAUAUAUAAGAUACUGAAAACUAGCAUCCAUCAGAAGCAGUCAAAUCAAAGCCAACAUAUUACUUGUAGUUUGGGUAGCCCAAAAAUUUAGCAAAAUAAAUUAGGAAAUCAAGUGCGAUAGAGAGCUCACUGCACACGCCAGUCGUGUGAAACUUGGCAAAAGAGUUACACCUCCAUCCUAAAAUUGUUUGUCGUAUUUCGAAACCCAACUUUUUAAAAAUAGCAGCUUGAUGAUGAUAUUUGUAGAUUUGUCUUAAAAAUUGUCAUCAAAAAUUCAAAUUUUAAAUUGAAUUUAGUAUGAAAUAUAGAUAAAGAUUGGAAUAACAUUGAAAAAAAGAGAUGAAAAGUUAUUUUGAUUUUGAUAAGAUGAUAAAUAUUUUAGAACGUUUCAAAAUAAAAAAAAUAUAUGACAUUUUCAAUGAAACUAGGAGAGAAUAUAUAUAAGAUACUGUAGUUUGGGCAGUCAAAUAGCCAACAUAAAUUAGUAGCAGAAACCAAGUGCGAUAGAGAGCUCACUGCACACGCCAGUCGUGUGAAACUUGGCAAAAGAGUUACACCUCCAUCCUAAAAUUGUUUGUUAUUUCGAAACCCAACUUUUUAAAAAUAGCAGCUUGAUGAUGAUAUUUGUAGAUUUAAAAAUUGUCAUCAAAAAUUCAAAUUUUAAAUUGAAUUUAGUAUGAAAUAUAGAUAAAGAUUGGAAUAACAUUGAAAAAAAGAGAUUCACGUUUCAAAAUAAAAAAAAUAUAUGACAUUCAAUGAAACUGAUACUGAAAACUAGCAUCCAUCAGAAGCAGUUCAAAGCCAACAUAUUACUUGUAGUUUGGGUAGCCCAAAAAUUUAGCAAAAUAAAUCAAGUGCGAUAGAGAGCUCACUGCACACGCCAGUCGUGUGAAACUUGGCAAAAGAGUUACACCUCCAUCCUAAAAUUGUUUGUCGUAUUUCGAAACCCAACUUUUUAAAAAUAGCAGCUUGAUGAUGAUAUUUGUAGAUUUGUCUUAAAAAUUGUCAUCAAAAAUUCAAAUUUUAAAUUGAAUUUAGUAUGAAAUAUAGAUAAAGAUUGGAAUAACAUUGAAAAAAAGAGAUUCAAAGUUAUUUUGAUUUUGAUAAGAUGAUAAAUAUUUUAGAACGUUUCAAAAUAAAAAAAAUAUAUGACAUUUUCAAUGAAACAAAAGGAUGGAGAGAAUAUAUAUAAGAUACUGAAAACUAGCAUCCAUCAGAAGCAGUCAAAUCAAAGCCAACAUAUUACUUGUAGUUUGGUUAUAACAAUAUCUCAGCUUGCUGGUAGCCCAAAAAUUUAGCAAAAUAAAUUAGGAAACCAAGUGCGAUAGAGCAUAUUUCACCCAAAUAUAUUAAAAGUGAAAAAGAUUUAUUUUUAUUUAGUCAAUGUGAUUUUUUGCGUCCACAUGCCCAUAAAGCUCAAGGACCAAAAAGCCAAACAUACGAAGUGAAAAUGUGAAGAGCAAUAAUUUGAAUGCAAAUAAAAAAACGGGUAGAUGGAUAGAAAACCAUGUCGAAGGUCUCUUCUCUUUUGAGUACGUAAGUGGCAGCAAUCAAUUCCCAAAGAGUGGGCUCUGGAGUUGUUAGUUACGUUGAAAAAUCAUGAAGCAGAGUUGUUCGAGAUGUUAUCUUGGGCUAUUUGGCUUGGGAGGAACCAAAAGCUGCAUGAAGAUAAACGAGUGGACCCUUUGAGUUUAGUUAGCUUUGCUUCGGGUGCGCUCCAACAAUUCCAAGAAGCUAAUGUUACUCAGAAAUGUCCAUCCUUAUCAAAUCAAUCUCACUUGUGGCAACCUCCAGGCGAUGGCAAGUUAAGGUUUAAUUUUGACGGUGUGGUGUUUAAGGAAACUCAAUCUAUUGGUUUAGAUGACGGUGCGGUGUUGAUUUAUCUAGUUUAGGCCCUCCAAUUGUGGACGUCACGAGGGACUUAACUAGUUUAGAGACGUCUAGUAUUUGAGGGAUGAGUAGGAAUCACAAUAAAAUCACUCAUAUAUUAGCUAAGAUCGCAAAAUUCAUAUGUGAUCAUGUCUUUUGGUGGAGAGAUCCUCCAGAGUUUGUUGUGCCAUUUCUAAUGGCGGAUUUGUUAGAAAGUUAAUGAAAGUUCAAUGUUAUAUAUAUAUAUAUAUAUAUAUAUAUAUAUAUAUAUAUAAGCAUAAAAAACAAGUUAUGUUGAGUAAGACGUUGGAUUGAAAAUUUAAGAUUUUUGGACUGAAAGUUCAAGAUUUUAUGAUGAAAAUAAAAGAUCACACUAAACUUAAUGGAUUUAGAUCUUAAUAUGUGCAAAUGCGUUUGAUAACUAAAAAUUGGGCAUCUGAAUUAAUUAAGUGCCACUGCAUUUUCUAAACAAAAAUUGCUCUAAAAAAAUAAGUGAUAAACUACGCAUUUAUUACUGAAUGUGAUAUACACUUAAAUAUACUUGAUCUAAUACUUAACAAUCUAAUAAUUUAAUGGAUUCAGAUUUUAGAUUUCAAUUUUAUCAAAGUACCCUAAAAAUAUAGACUAUAGAUAAAAUAACUGCAGAUCAUGAUUUAUGUUGAGUAAGCUUUCAAAGCUGCGUUUGCCAAAACAAACUUUAGAGAAUCAUUCUGUAAUUUUUGCUUUCACUCUAGAAGAUGCAUACAAUAAUGGGUGUAUACAAAAAUGGAAGUUAAAUUGAUAACACUAAGCUCGCCAAUUCUCAUAAAAAAAAAUGAUGACAUUGCCUGCAUUAAUUCUAGUAACGGACUGAAGACAAUAAUUAAUAGGUGACUAUAUGGUGCCUAAGGCACACAAUAAAAUGUGGACUUGGUACCAUUAUUUAUUUUUGUGAAAAGGGUAAACCUGUUUUGUAAGGUGUCGCAAUUCAUCAUCAUGAAAUGAGUGGUAAUUUAAAAGCAUUAAUAGUGAAUUCACCUUCAUUUUUAACGUUCAUAUCGGAAAGCCUAUUAAAAAAUUUCCACCAGCACAAAUUCCACUUUUAAUAGGUUCAAAAAUUCACUCACAAAUUAAUCCACAAAUCCCAUUAACAAAAAAAAAUAGAAAAAGCAGAAAGUUCUCAACGGAACUUCUAUACUGCGUUGAUGCACCGUACGUUGAUUCUGACAAAUGCUCUGCACUUCAUCUGCAGAUGUGACACGUGUUGGUUGGAGAUUACUAGAUGGGAGUGGGGUGCAAAGGUGGUAUUUUAGUAGUGGGUUUAAGCCCAAAAACCACCGGUAACAAUGGUAUUGACCCAAUUUCUAGUGGAAUUGACCCACAUAAAUUGUGAAAGAUUAUUUUCUCAGUCAUUUAAGGCAAUUUCUGAACAAGAUUUAGGCCUAUAAUAAAGAAAUUAAAGAAAUUAUCAACCCCAACCCCCAAUAUGCUAAUAUGCAAUUGGAAAAAAUUAAAUGAAUAUUUACUUGAAGUAAAGAAACGGAUACCAAUCGGUAGAAAGUGUUUAUAACAUACUCUGAAAUGCCAAAGGACUUCCCAAAAAGUGAGAAGCAGGACAACAUCUGAAAUAGGGUCCAAGUUUGAAGUACUUUAUGUCAAACAUAUUUCAAUAUAGAAAAAAAAAAUUUACCGGUUAGCAGAUGUUUGUGCGCACUAUUUGUUGAUUGGGAGACGGUUCUAAGGAGGCGGUUUUGCAACAAAUAAGUAAACGGGGUGUCGAUUACUUGGAGUUGUAUCUUAUGUUGGAAAAAUAAUUAGAUAUGUCAGUUAAGAAAUAUUUCAAUUUAAAUAAAGUUAGUUAGGAACUAGAACUCGUAACAUGGUUGGAUAUGGUUAGUGAAUAAGAUAUGAAUGUUGGGGGAUACAAUACAACUAGAAUUACUAAGACAAAUUAAGCUUGACACUUUGAAUUCAAAUUUUACUAACAUUGCAUAAUAACACCUUUGACUGAUAAUUUUUUUUGAUAGAAAAACUGGAAAAUUUUUAUUAAGAAGAGGAUAGAUCCGUAUUAAUUGCGAAAGAAAGAAAAAUUGGUGGAGAAAAUCUCCAACUAUAAAUACCUAAAAUAGAACUAGCAUUACUAUCUAAGAAAUGAGUAGGCACAAUUAGAUUCCUAGAAAUCCAAUCAGCCUCCCAAGUGAUGAAAUUCUGUAAACUAAAAAAGAUAUCAUCUAAUAGCAUUCCAUAAGCUAAAUCAUCGGAUUCUAUAUUUUUAAGCAUGUUGAUGAUCUUCAAAGAGUCACCCUCUAAAACAAUCUUAGGAACCUUCAACUGAAGUAACGAGGAAAUUGCAGAUAUUGCAACAUAGGUUUCAAUUACUUUAGGAGAAAAGAUACCUAAGAUUUUGUGAAAAAUACUAGUAACAAAUUUGUCCCAUUCAUUCCUCACAACAAUUCCAACUCUAAAGUUGUCGUCUUCAUAGAAUAUUGCACCAUCGAAGUUUGCCUUUAGAAAUCUUGCAGAGGGCUUUAUCCAAUGAAGUUGAGCAGUGGAAGAGCAUAUUGGAAUGUUUGGAAAUGUGUUUAUUUCAUGGUAUUUCUAUAAGAAAAUGAUAGAGAGGGAGAGACCAAACUGAGAGGAUCACGAGAGGAACCAUCAAAUAAUGCAUCAUUUCGGUUAAACCAUAGAUUCCAAAGAAUUAUGGCUACCAAUUCCAUGUCCUGCUUUUUCAAAAGAUGAAGAAGGCCAGACAACCAAGACGAAAUUUGAUCGGUAGAGUCUAAUCUUAUCUUUAGUGUAAGAAAGCUAAGGGCCCAAGGUUGAAUUGCUACUGGACAGCACAAGAAAAGAUGAUUAACAUCAUCAAUAGGGGCCUUACAUAAAGAACAAGUAGGAUCAAAAUAGACUCCACGACUGUUCAACUUGGAAGUUAUAAGUAGAAUGUCUUUGCAAAUUCACCACAAGAAUAUUUUAACUUUACUUGGUAUGUUGAGUUUCCACAAGCAGGGCCAAAUAUCAUCCAUAGAACCAUUACUACAUGAAGCUACAUCUUGUCAAUUUGUAGAUUAUAUUUUGAUAAGAUGAUAGGCAAUUUUCACUGUGAAGGAGCCAUUUUUAGAAUAGUGCCAAAUGAGCUUUUCUUGAUUUCGUCUAUCACCCAAUGGAAUACUCAUAAUCAACUCGAUCACAUCUAAGGAUAGCAACGGGGGCGGUGCCCGCGGGGGGCUAUUAGGGCAGAGGUUGGGGCGGGGGGUGGGGGGAAUUUUUCCCCCCAUUUAGAAACGGGGCAGGGGGCCCACCCGUUUGGAAAAAAAAGAGAGAUAUAUAUAUAUGUACAUAAUUAUAUAUCUAAUGAUAUUAUCAAUUAUACAUGUCUAUUAAUAAAAAUUAUUAAUUAUUUAUACUAAAUUUAUUAAUACAUUUAUAUUAAAUUCCUAACUACACUUAAUACAAUAACACUUUUUUCUAAAAAAAAACACAAUAAUAAUUUAGUGAUUGUAUUUGUAUCAAAAGUAAAAAUAAUUAUUUUAGUUAUAUUGGUUUUAUCAUAUUAGAUUGUAUUCAAAUAACUUUUGUUUAAUUAUUUUUAUGAGUUUCAAUUGUAAAGUUACAAUGAAUAAUAAUUUGGUAAUGUGUUGAUAUUUUAGUACUUGAUUACUUGCUCAAAUUUAAUUAUAAUGAAAUUAUAUAAUAAUUAUUUUAACCCCGUGGGGGAAGCGGGGCGGGGGCGGAGGACGGGACGGGGACGGGGGGAAUUAAUAGGCAACGGGGCGGGGGUGGGGGAGGGGUCACCCCUAAUCACAUCCUGCCAAAAAAGCUCUUGAAGCAAAUCAUAUUUCCAUUUCCUGCUAUUUUCAUCAAUUAAACAAUCUAUAGUGGAGAUUUCUAGUAGCACAUCAAAACGAGAUAUAAUUUUGAAAUUAGAAAGACGUGGAGUCCACCUAUCUUUCCAAAUUUUGAUAUGAUUCCCGUUUCCAUCUCACCAUCUACUACCAAAAACACCUUUGAUUGAUAACUAAAUAGUUAAAAAAAUAUAUCUACUUAUUUUGUUUACUCAACAGUUAUGUGAACUAAAACAUAAAAAAAGAAGGUCAAUUAUUAUAUUAGUGUUAUAUUUGUAAUAUUAGUUCCCUAUAUAGUAGGUUGCCGAGUUGGGCAUAUUUAUAUUCUACCAAGUAAAUGCCCUAUCUUUUCGAAACGUGGCAAAAAAUUUGUGUUUGUUUUUUUGGUAGAUUUCAUUCUUUUUCUUUUUUGGUAACAAUUAAUUUACUAUUCAUUUUCACUUCAUUAUUUAUAGUAAAUUUCAAUCAAUCAUCAAUUACUUACCCUAUAUGCAUUUCUAUUAAUUAUACCUUUAUUUUUUUCAAUCAACUUAUAGCUUUCCUUUUUAAUUAGGCACUCGUUAAUAUAUAUAUUAGGUGUUAAAUUUUUAGAAAUAUAAGAUGAAUUAGGGAAAGCAUAUAAAUGUAAGGGAAUUAAUUAGAAAAAUAUAUAAAUAAAAGAAAAAGUAGUAAUUGUUACGUAUAUACAUGGCAGGUUAGAUGGAAUGCAGGUGUGUUAACGAUUACCCAUAGGUCACCCAUUAGAAAUACUCAUCAAAAUUUGGAUUAAUUUUUUUUUCCUUUCAUUGCAAUCAUUACUACCAUUUUUCCUAUUAUUUAUUACUAUACCUUCAUGUUUCUAAAUACCAAUAAAUGUAUUACUCUCUUACUUUUUAUUUGAUUGUGCUAAUUAUAGCUUUCCUUUUACUUAAUCAAUUAGUCAAUCGAUCAAUCAACCCAUGAUUUUAAUUCUCUUUUCAAUCACACGAUCUUUCUUUUAUCCAUCAUUAGGGAGAUUUACAAUUAGUCACAUAUUUGUUAUGUGUACAAUAAUUAUGCAAUCAUAAGCACAAACUAAUGCAAUUUUAAUAAUUUUGCAUAUAUGCAUUCAUAUUGUAUUGCAACACCUUUAAUAAUUCAUUAUAUGGUUAGAAAAGCCAAAAAAAAUCGAGUAUUACCUAGACCUUAGAUAGUCCCCAAUGUAUACACUGAUACUGUAUGAAAUGAUUUAAAACCCGUUAAUAUAUAUACUGAUUGCAUAUGAAGAUUCAUCCCUAGUUUAGACCUCUUAGAUAGUUUGCAAGCAUUAUAUUCCCUUUUUUUAAUUUCUUAUUUAGUUUACCUUAUUACCAUUUAUGAUUUUUUUUUUAAUUUAAGCAACAUCUUCCAAUAUUUUAUCACCAUUUUAAGUUAGUUCAUUUUUAGGAGAUAGUAGUAUAAGUGUGGUAGUUUGUCCAAAUAACUUUGAAUACGCAUAUACAACCCAAAAACAAAAUGAUAGCUGUUUAUAUUCUUAUCACUCAACGAUGAUAGUGUUAUGUAAUUUAAAUGAUUGAGAUCUAUCGCCAUCCAAAUAUAAAUUUAAUAUGAGGGUAUGAUAACUAAAAAUGACUAUAGAAUCCCCCUAAAUACUAAAUAAUGCGAAUAGAGAUAUUCCCUCAAAAACUUGUAAAGUACUUAAUGUGUAUACGGGUAAAUUCUUGCAAUAGUGAAAGGAAAAUAUCUUACUAGCCUUGAAAUUUUGGCCCGUGUACUGACUUUUGUUAGCUAAAUUAAACUAUCUUGGAGUGAAGACAUAAAAUCGGCGGCAAAUAUUGAGAGAAUUGUGAACAUAGCUAACUUAUCUAGCGUACACAUUUUUUUCCGAGUUUGAAUUCUCUCACUUACACUACAAAAAGAAAAAACUAUCAUACAUUUAACUUCCAACUAACAAUGAUGUAUAGGUAAUAAAUUAUAUGCAUGGGAUAUUCCCAUAAAUAAAUGAAAUAUAUUUACACGACAAAGAGUAAAUUCUUAAAUUAAGAAGAAAUAAUAUUAUAGUAGCUGUCAAUUUGUUUAUAUGACUUUUUGGUUUGUCAUUAUUCAUGACAACCAAUUAUGUUAUUUUGAUGUAAACAUAUCCAAAAACGGUUGAAUACAAUGUGGGACAUUAUUAUUAUUACUCGGAUACCUCAAUAUUUAUAAAAUUGAUUAAAUUGGAAUCCAAUUGGAUUCAACAGUAUUUUGAAAAAACUAUUUUUGUUGUUCAAGUCUACAGUGAUAAACUUUAAAAAUAACCUCAAAAAUAAUUUAAAAAUACAACAUAUCUCAAAUACAUUAAAAAAAUAAUUAAAAAAUUUCCCUAAUUCUUCUUCCCCACACUACCCACUACAACCACCACCACUACCCAUCACUGUCCACUACCACCGCCAUCACCCCCACACCCAUGACCCUCCUUCCUCUCUCCUCUCUCUCUCUUUUUCUCCCUUUCUCUCCUCCCUCCUUCCUCUUAUUCUCCUUCUCCUUUCUCCUUCCUCCUCUCCCUUGUCUUUCCUCCCUUCUCCCUUCCCUUUCCCCACCCCCUAAUCCCCCCUUCCCUCUACUGACUGUGGGCUUCUUGGUCGUGACCAGAAAGGUUGCAGCUAGAAGCCGCGACUAGUGGCUUCUGGUUGCAACCAAGAAGGUCACAGCUGAGGUCUCAGAUGGAGUCGCGGUUACCAUCCACGAUUAGGAGAGGGGUUUGAGGGUCGGAAACGAGAGGGACGGGGGAGAAAAGGAGAAGAAAGAGGAGGGAGAAGGAAGAGGAAGGGGAGAAAGAAAGGGAGAAAGAGAGGGAAAAAAGAGGGAGAGACAAGAGAGAGGAGGGAGGGGGUGAUGGCGGUGAGUGGUGGUGGUGGGUGGCGUAAAAUUUUUUAAAAAUACCCCAAAAAAGUUGUAAAUUAUAAAAAUAUCCCAAAAAUGUAUUUUAAAAAGCCCUAAAAAUACUUUUAAAAAACCCCCCAAAAACAUCUAUAAUACAAGUUAUUUAUAUAUAUAGUUACCGUAAAGUUUUUAAAAGAUACCCCAAAAGCAGUUAGUCCAAAUGGAGUCUUGAGUUUUGAGGUUAAGGUGUAAUGAUUGACCACAAUUUAGGUCAAAGUAAAACUUGGCCAAAAGUUUAGUGGGUUAAAAUAUAAUUUUAAAAAUUAAUCAUCUUCCCUGAUCCUCACAGUUGCAAUGGUGAACUGUCAGCCCCUUAGGACGCGUUCUAGAUGGAACGCGCGCAACCGUGGUAGAUUUCGGUCAGUCAUGGUCAAGUUGGAAGGCUGAAGGUGAACUGGUGGGGAAAAACUUGGACAUGUGUUUGAUGAUGUAUUCCAUACCUAUGUAUGGGUUUGGAAAAGUUUCAAGGCUAGGAAAUGUCUCUAAAUUAGUGGGGAAAUGAGGGGUGUCUCUACUAGCGGUCCGAAAUUUUUAGCUAGGACUACUAUAGAGAGGGAUAACUAUAACUAAGCCAAGUCAAUACCAAGGGCUGGGGGCUAAGGCUUUAUGGGUUAUUUCGGAUGGUUCCAAGCAUUUGGAGCCGUGGUGCCUAAGUUGCUAAGUGUUGGGGCAAGUUGGGCACGGAACUAAGCAAAUGGCGAGAAGCUGGGUGCGCGAAACUGUGUGACCAUUGCCUAUGCGCUCCAAAGAUGAACGUUGGGACUGUCUGGCAGUUGCUAGUCGUUUGCUGGAGUUGCGGAUGGUUAUCAGUCAACUCAGACACGUUCUUAUCGGUUUCCUGACUUCAUGUACAUUCGGGUCGGACCAACGGUUGGGUCUUGUCAACUAUAACAAUGCAUAUAAAUAAAUGGCUAGGUAAGGUCUAAAGGUAGAUAGUGAGAAACACCCUUAGAUGUUCUGCACGCCAAAUGUUUGUAGAAUUGUCCUUGUAAUCUCUAUAGUGAAAUACAAGGUUGGCCGUUUGGUUGUAACUUGUGCAUGUUGUUCCUUUGUUUUUGCCUAAGUAUUCUAAGUUGAAUACUUGUAUGCAAGUGUCAAUGUAAGGGCUGACUGGAAGCGCGGCUUAUCAAUGUCAUUACAUGCUUGUUAGGCUAGCAAGCGUAAACACCUCGUAAUAGUUUGGUAUCAAAGCACGGCUUUGAUCUAUUAGACUGUGCUUUUGUUAUGUGUUUUGUUGGUUAAUGAUGGUUGGACACAGGAAUUCUAUUGCAAUGCUAGGAAUGGUUGCAAUGUUAGGAAUUUGCAUUUGAGGACUUGAUGCAGUGUCUGGGAGAUGGCCCAGAAGGCUUCAACGUCAUAGAAGUUCUAUUGCAGACUAGAGAGAUGAUCAACACCCUGACUGCACAGAUGGAUGAAACCAAGCAGACAGUUUCUUUCGUUGGAGAUGUUGAGAUACUAAGGAAUGAAAUGACUUCGUCCCAUACAAAGAUCGUGACUUUACAAUCGAAGAUCAAUGUGUUAAAGAAGGCAGUCGGCUCUUGUAACACACAGACCUUUCAAAAAUCUUCGAAGGGAAAAGUGAAAGUCCUAGAUCCGAAACCGUACCAAGGUAGUAGGAGUUCUAAGUAUUUGGAAAACUUUCUGUGGGAUUGUCGAGUAGUACUUCAAGGCUAUUGACAUUCCUGAAGUAGAAAAGGUAUCAAUUGCAUCAAUGUACCUUAGUGGUGAUGUAAAGUUAUGGUGGAGAACAGUGCAAUCAGAUCUACCAAAUCCAAGAUCGGCACUUGAGAAGUACUGAAGGAGGAAUUGAAGAAACAAUUCCUUCCCACGAAUGUUUCAUGAAAAGUUAGAGGUGUAUUGUGAAACUUGAAGCAGAAUAAGAGCAUACACGAGUACUUACAGAGUUCCAAGCCUUGAUGUUAGAUGUAAGGGAAAUGUCUGAGGAAGACAGACUCUACAUCUUCAUCCAUGGACUUCAACCGUGGGUACAGAUGGAGUUGCAGUGACAAAAUGUUCAGACCGUGUCUCAAUCACUUGCUACUGUCGAGAAGUUGAUAGACUUCAAGUCCAUAGGAUCCAAAAGUGAAAAAAAAAGAAGGGCAAGGAUAAGGCUAAGGGCUCGAAAGGUGGUCAAUUCUCAAAGAAGAAUAAAAAGAAACAGACAGUGACAACGACCGAAACUAGCGGUGUUUCCUCUUCUAAGAAGAAGCAAACAUCCAACCCUAAAAAGGAUGGCUGCUAUACCUGUGGAAGACCACACUUAACUCGCAAUUAUCCAAUAAAAAGGACCAGAACAUUAGUGCCUUGGUGGCAGAAGGCAAUAGUGACCAGUUGGAGGUCCAGGAUGCACGGGUCAACCCCAUGUAAUUCUUGAACGCCAUCACAGAUACUAAUGUCCGUACUCUUUACAAUGGUUUGAUGUAUGUGCAAGUUACAUUGAAUGGUAACCAUAUAUUGGCGAUGGUUGAAACGGGAGCAUCAUAUAGUUCUAUGAUGGAAAAAGUGGUGAGUCGGUUCCGGUUACAGUUGAAAGACUUGGGUUUCAAAAUUGAAGGCCGUAAACUCUAAAAUCAAGCCAGUGCUAGGCAUGGCGACUGUAGAAUUGGAGUUGGGGCCAUGGAAGGGUUGGUGCAAUUUCAUGGCAAGUCAAUGGAUGAUUUUGACUUGAUUCUAGACAAAGAUUUCAUAGUUGCAAAUAGGAUCUAUCCAAUUCCGCACUUGGAUGGCGUCAUGGUGAAUGAUGGCUAGAGUCCAGGCUUUGUUCCUGCAGUAAAGUUGCAGAAACAAAAGAACAAUCAACAAAAGAACAUGGUAUCAACGAUAGAGAUUGAGUCAUAUCUUCUGAGGCGUGGUGAAGUUGUGCAUAUUGCUGCAUUGGUGGAAACCAAACCUAACAUGUACCAGGAAGUACCCAACGCCAUGGCCCAUGUUCUAGAGAAGUUUACAUAUAUCAUGCCUGCAGAGUUUUCGAGAUAGCUUCCUCCAUCCUGUGCUGUGGAACACAAGAUCGAGUAGGUUCCAAGAGCCCAACCACCUACCCAAACUUCUUAUCGCAUGUCCCCGAUAGAGUUGGCUGAGUUGCGAUACCAACUUAAUGAAUUGCUAGAUAGCCAAGCGCUGAGACCGUCAAAGUAUCCGUACAGUACUCCAGUGUUAUUCCAGAAGAAGGCUGACGGAACGCUGAGGUUCUGUGUAGACUAUUGUGCCUUGAAUAAGAUCACGAUAAAAAACAAGUACCCAUCCCAAAUGUGUACAACUUGUUCGACGAGCUAGUGAUGGCACGAUUUUACACUAAAAUUGAUUUGCGGUCUGGGUACUGGCAAGUCUGAAUAGCCCCAGGAGAUGAGGAAAAGACGACGGUAGUGACGUGCUAUAAUUCCUUUGAAUUUCUCGUUAUGCCAUUCAGUUUGACGAAUGCACCUGCUACCUUUUGUGGACUAAUGAAUGAUGUCUUGUACGAUUUUCUUGAUAAGUUUGUCAUAGUGUACUUAGAUGAUAUUAUUGUGUAUUCGAAAUCCUUGAAGGACCACAUAGAUCAGAGGGUAGUAUUCUGCAAGUUGAGGGAAUGCGAACUCCAUGUAAAGCAAGAAAAGUGUGAGUUUUGCAGGGAGCAAAUCAUUUUUCUUGGCCAUGUAUUGAACAAUGGUCGGAUCCAGAUGGAUCACAGAAAGGUUGAGGCGAUCCUUGACUAGCUUGCACCCCAGAAAGUCGCAUAACUAAAGUCAUUCCUUAGUUUGGCCAACUACUACAGGCACUUCAUCCAGGGAUACUCAAAGAUGACCUACUAAAGAAGGAUAGACUGUGGCUGUGAGAUUAUGAGUGCGAAGAUGCAUUCAGAAUGCUGAAGAAAGCGGUUGCUUCUGUGCCAGUGUUGCAACUUUCGAAAGCUUUUGAAGUGCAUACUGAUGCUUCAGAUCGUGCGAUUGGAGGAGUACUUAUGCAGGAGAAGCACCCGAUUGCAUUUGAAACUAAAAAGCUGAAAGAAUGCGAGCAAAGAUAUAGUACGCAUGAGAAAUAAAUGACAGUUGUUGUGCAUUGCCUCAAGAUAUGGAAGCACUAUCUAUUAGGAACCAAGUUUGUGGUGGUGACUAAUAACAUGGACAAUAUUUACUUCAAGACACAGAGAGAGUUGACCCCAAAGCAAGCUCGUUGGCAAGAGUUUCUGGCUGAGUUUGACUUUGACUGGAUUCAUAAGUUAGGAAGGGAGAAUGCAGUGGUCGACGUACUUAGUAGAAAGUAUGUCAAAGAAUACAUUGUUGUGCUUAGUACUGUUGAGACGGACUUCGGGGACAAGAUUAAGUGGGAGUCCCCGAGUGACCCAGUUUAUCAAAACUUGGUGUUCGUGAAGUCAAAGUUCGUCGUUAUUGGCUGGAGGAUGACUUACUCUUUGCCAAUAGUGGUCAAGCAUAUGUUCCAGCAGGAGGGGGACUUAGGCGAAAGUUACUACGAGAGACUCACGAUGCUUCUUGGACUGGUUAUUCUGGAGUUGAACGAAUGCGGGCAUUACUGUCGCGUAGCUUCUAUUGGCCAAAGAUGGAAGAGGAUAUUGAAGCAUACGUGAAAACUUAUCUUGUUUGUCACCAAGACAAGGUGGAGAGGAAGAAGGAGUCAGGCUUGUUGCAGCCUUUGCCAAUCUCUGAUCGACCAUGGCAAUUAGUUUCUAUGGACUUCAUUUCGAGAUUCUCUAAGGUCGAUGGUAUGGCUUUUGUCUUUGUAAUUAUUGACAGAUUUUCUAAGUAUGCUGUGUUUGUUGGUACACCAAAGGAGUGCUCGGUUGAUGUUGUCGUUGAGUUAUUUUCAAACAUGUUAUGAUGUAUUUCGGAUUACCCAAAGAUAUCAUAAGUGACAGGGACAUGAGAUUCAUAGGUAGAUUUUGAACCGUGAUGUUCAGGUUGCUAGGUUUCAAAUUGAAGUUCUCAACUGCCGCAUAUUCUUAGACCGACGGACAAACGGAGACGAUCAAUACCUUGUUAGAAGAACACUUAAGGCAUUACGUGACGACAAGUUAGAAAAAUUGGUUGGAGUUGCUGGAUGCUGCAUAGUUUUACUACAACCUGCACAAGUCAUUCGCAACUAAGUUGAGUCCAUUUGAGUUAAUGAAUAGGCAACAACCUCUGACUCCACCUGAAGUUGCUCUUCAAGAGAUAGUUUGUUGAUGAUACAACAACGCAUGAAGAAGUACGCAAACCAACAUAGAUCGGACUUAGAGUUCCAACUGACUCCCCAGAUUUGAAAGAAAGUAAAUAACAAGACAGUCCAUCGUGGGAUCAUCCCUGAGUACAAUAGACCAUUUAAGGUAAUCAAGAAGGUGGGUCAUAUAGCUUAUCGUUUGAAACCACUUGACAAGCUCAAGAUCCACCUGACCUUCCAUGUGAGUUUUCUGAAACCCUUUUACCAAGACGCGAUGGAUGGAGGACGGAGGCAAGCAAAGUGUGCCCCGCCAGUGAUUCGUAAGAAAUUUCAGAAAGAUGUGAAGGCUGUGCUGGAUUACAGAAUGAUGGGACAAAGAAAAAAGAAUAGAUGGACAAACUAUCUGAUCCAUUGGAACGGUGAAACAAAAUUAGAUGCUACUUGGGAAUGGAAUGUUACCUUGUGACAGUUUCAAGAUAAGAUUGCUGAGUACUUGAAGAACGUGCGAAAGCAAACCAAGUUGACGAGGGUGUCAACCUCUUUAGGUGGGGUGGUUUAUUAGCCCCUUAGGGUGCGGUCCAAACGAAAAGUGCACGACCGUGGCAGAUUUCGGCCAAUCAUGGUCAAGUUGGAAGGCCGAAGAUAAAUGGGUCGAGAAAAGUUUGGACACAUGUUUGAUGAUAUUUUUCAUGCCUAUGUAUGGGUUUGGGAAAGUUUCAGGGAUAGAAGAUGUCUCUAAGUUAGUGGGGGAAUGAGAGGUGUCUCUACUAAUGGUCCGAAGUUUUUAGCCAGGACUACUAUAUAGAGGAAUAACUGUGACUAAGCCAAGUCAAGGCCGGGGGCCAAGGGCGUGGUACGACUAGACUUUGUGGGUUAUUUCAGAUGGUUCCAAGCAUUUGGAACCGUGGUGACAAAGUUGCUAGGUGUUGGAGCAAGUUGGGCACGAAACGUAGCAAAUGGUGGGAAGCUGGGCGCGCGAAAUCGUGCGACCGUUGCCUGUGCUCGGAAAGACGAACGUUGGGACUGUCUGGCAGUUGCUAGCCGUUGUUGAAGUUGCGAAAGGUUACCAGCCAACUCAGACACGUUCUUAUCGAUUUCCUAACUCAUGUACAUUUGGAUUGGACCAAUGGUUGGGUCUUGUCAACCGUAACAAUGCCUAUAAAUAAAUGGCUAGGCAGAGACUAAGGGCAGAUACUAAGAAACAUCCUUAGAUGUUCUGCACGCUAAGUGUUUGUAGAAUUGUCCUUGUAAUCUCUAUUGUGAAAUACAAGGUUGGCCGCUUGGCUUUAACUUGUACGUGUUGUUCCUUUGUUUUGUCUGAGUGUUCUACGUUGAAUACUUGUGCACAAGUAUGAGUGUGAGGGCUGACUGGUAAUGCGACUUACCAGUGCCAUUACGUGCAUGUUUGGCUAUCAAGAGUAAACACCUCGUAACACGAACACUAGUUGCCUAUCUUCAACCACCAUCUAACACUUCUUUUCAAGAUCAAUUUUUGCCCAACACUCAUUUUAUUCGCUUGAGUCAUGAUUAUGGCAUCAUUUUUCUUCAGUUUAAACCCUUUGACGAUACAAAAAUAAGGUCAUAAUUGAAAUUCUGAUUCGAAAAUUUGAAACUUUCGGGAUUGCCUUCUGCUAUGGGCUUUUCUCAAACUCGAUCAUAUGCCCAAACAAAUUCAUCAACCAACACUCACUUUGCCUUUGGGGCAUCUAAUUAACCCCUUUAAAACAAUUUUGAAGACACCUGAAACUAGGGUUGGGCAAAAAUACCUGUUAAUCCAAAAAUCUGCCACAUCCGAUUCGAUUCGAUUCAACAAAUAGGGUUCCGGUGUGUAUUAUUUGAUCGAGUCAAAAGAAAGUUGGAUAAUUACUUGUAUGCGGUGUUAGUUGGAGUCACCUGAUUAAGAAUCCGUGGGAACCCGAUUCUUCCCACAUAUAUAUUUUUUAUUUUUACACACAUAUUACAAAAUAAUACUUUUGGAGGUAAAUAAGUAAUUUCAUUAAACAAAAUACAUUAUAAAUAUGAAAAAUUAAAGUUUAUUUAUAAGAUUCAUUUAUAGAUGUCAUGAUUUCUUUUUUUUUUUAAGGAAACAGUUUAAUUAAUGUAGAACAUAUAUUUGGAAAGAGGUAUUAUUUAUUUGAAUUUUCAUUGAUUUUGAAUUCUUUUAAUUUUCUUUUCUCGUAUUCUCUUUGCAUGUUCAUUUUUUUAUUGAGAAAAAAUCUUUAUUAAGUUUUAGAUGAAUAUUCAAAAUACAAAAUUAAAUUACUAUAAAUUAUUUUUAAAAAAAAUUAAAUGAUAACCAGCGUGAUGCAGAUAUCUGUUGACUCAACCCUACUUUAAUGGAAACCCACUCAUAUACGGGAUGGUUAAAGAUCAGAAGAUAGCUGUCUUGCAAGGUACGGGUCUAGUCAGCCAAAUGAAGCAUAGAAUGAGUACUACUUGACCUGUACCCACCCCUACCCAAAACAAAUCUUAAUAAUCAUAAAAUAGCAACUUGAACUUGCAAAAUCCAAUUUUCAAUUUUCUCCUCAAAAUUUAGCAUCAAAUUUUACAAAAAUUACACAAAAACAAUCCAAUCAACAAAUAAAUACUCAAGCACUGAAUUGACAUUACACUGUAUUUGUGCAGCACCGAAUUGACAUUAUUUGACUUGUAUGUAUGGCAAAAUAAAGGAACUAUGAAUAGGAUGGGGAGGAGGGAGAAGGAUGCUGAGAGUAAGGGAGGAGAUGAAUCGGAAAAUUUAGAUAUUUUUUUUUAAUUUUCUAUAUUUUCUAUUAACCUGAUUUAUAGGUAACUAGAGCUGUUAAUCGAACCGGGUAGCUCGCGAGCCGAGCUCGACCCAGCUCGAUAAGGGCUCGGCUCGGCUUGUUUACAGAGAGAAACGAUCCGAGCUCGAACUUUACUCAAUAUUCGUUUAAUACACGAGCCGAGCUAUGCUCGGUAGGUUCGAAGAGUAGGGGCAUUAACGUCAUUUCAUUGUGUAUGUGGUACGCUAACCUAAGUCAUUCUCUCGUUUGUAGCCCUAAUUUUUCUUUCCUCUUUUGGUCUUAUUUUCUCCCGUUCCACAGCCGUAGCCACAGUCGCACACCCACACCCUCCAUUUUCACCACCGUCACCGACUCACCAUUCACCAAUUCAUCCAUUAUCUCACCUCCAUCAGGACCAUCAUCUAUCCGUCCACUAUCUCACCACCAGGCGCAAUCCCUAAUUUUUUCUUUCCUCUUUCGAUCUUUCAUUUUCCCGUUCCACAGCCGCAGCCGCACCCUCCAUUCUCACCACCGUCACUGACUCACCAAUCCAUUCAUCUCACCUCCAUCACCAAUCCGUCCACCAUCUCACCACCAUCAUUCAAUCCACUUCUCGUGAAUCCGUGAGCAACGCCAUACGGAGCCACCUCGGUAAAGCCAGGGGCUUCUACCAUAUCCCGAUUCGCUGCAUAAUCUGGUAACCAUUUCUUCUCAAUUUUUGCAAUUUAUUUUGGUUUUAAGAGGUUGUGUGGAUUUUGGUUAAUGGUGGAUAGCCCCGUAUCCCGUAUGGCUUCCCCGUAUCCUGUUGGCUUCUUGUGUUUUAUCUCUGUGUUUUAUCCCGAAUUUCACCUGCACGGAUUGCUUAGGGACCGCUUAGUGGAUUUUUGGCUUCAAAUAGCAUGUCUUUUACCAGUUAAAUAGCCUUUUUUUUACCCAUUGUUCUGGAUUGUUGCAUAAGUGUCAAAUUUCGCCUGAAAUGCUCACAUAUUCUUUUAUGCGAUUACGUGCAUCACUACUGCGUUACCUUCCUUCGACACUUGAAGCGGGGUUUGAUGUUUCAUUUCGUUCAGACCAUGGAAUAGUUGCUGCGAUUAAACUUGUGUCUCUAAGAAAAUAAAGAAGGAAACAUCACUUUUUGUCUCUGUGCUCUUUGAUUUCUACAUUUUCUAAUCCAUGUUAUAGAACUGACUGUUGAUGAUACCAAACAUUUUGUUAAAAGAAAGCCAAAGUAUUCAAUUCCCAUACAUUUAACUCUUCCUGGUUAAAAUGUAACUUUCUCUAUUGAUGUCCAUAAAUUUCCUCGAAAGAGCUUGCGAAUUGCAAAAGUUUCCACCAGUCGUCUUAAAAUGGCAUUCUAAACCGUCUGCUAUGAUACUUCUGAUAAGUACCAUGGUUGUUAAAAUUGCGAUCCGGAUCGUAGGAUCGUACGAUCCUACGAUCUGGAAAGGCAAAAUCGAUCCGGAUCGCACUUAGAAUCGCAAACUCCUUGAAUCUACGUAGGAUCAAGGUAGGAUCGGUAGGAUCGCAUAGGAUCGUACGAUCCUACGAUCCUACUUCGAUCCCACAAAAAAGGGCUAAUUUGUGAAAUACAAGGUUCAUUUUGCAAGUAAAAAUCAACAUUUGGGGUAGGCUUGUAGUUUAUCAAGAAAUUGCAGGCCUUAGUUGCAAUGUUUUAACAAAUUUUGCCUCAAAGUCAAAAGGUUCCGUCAAAAAGCUUCGGUCUUCUUCAUCUUCUCCUCAAGCAGACCUUUGUCAUUUCUCUUCUCCUCUCCGCUGCCCAAAUCAAAUCCCUAAUUUAAACCAUCAAACCAUCUCAAGCUUCGGCUACAGCUCUUACCAAGACCAAGUACUAACAAGACAAAUUGCUGCGGCUUCUACCAAGAACCCACAAGCUACAGCCGACAGCUUCAAGGCUUCAAGCUUUAAAGCUUCAAGCUCCAGCAGCCAUUGCUUCGGUAAGAAUAUCAAGCUACGAAAUCCUCUGUUGCCGCUGGAUUUUGGCCGUUUCAAGCUUCAAAGCUUGAAGCUCCAGCACCCGUUCUUCUCCAAUUUUCGUGCUGCCAGCCUGCCACCACACUGAAGCUCAAGCACCAGCACUUCAAUUAAAGUCAUAUGUGAGUGUGGUUAUUUUCUUGCUUAAAAAUUGAUACUUGGGGAGAUAGUGAUUGAUAAAGUUGUGAUUUGUAUUUGGUUUUCUUGGUAUUUGAACAUAUAUUGCUUUUGAUUGAAUUGAGUUGAAGUUGAAGGGAAUUAUUGACGGGUCCAUUAGGAUUUGUGAAAUUUUGGUUUUCUUGCUUGAAAAUUAUUGACGGUUCUGAAGCACCAGCACUUUGUCUUAGGAUUUGUGCUCUCAGAAUCAUUAACGGGUCCAUUAGGUACACUUUUUUUUGCCUUCUCCAUAGGAAGCUCUGAUAAUCGAGACUCUGCUACCACAUAAAUCUUCCCAUUGAACUUGUUGAAGAAAUCAAAGUUAGGAGUAUUAUUAUUUUGUAAUAAUGAAUUAAUGAGAACUCAUAAAAUUAUUUAAUAUAACAUCGUUUAAAUCUUCCCAUUUUGUCAUGCAUUUUGCAGCAGUUGGACAGUUGAUUUUUCAACUGUUAUCUUUACAGUAAAACAUGUCAGUUGAUAAUUUUUCUUUCUGUUACAUGACUCCUUAAUAAUCUGUUUUCACAGGAUUGUUUUUCUGUUCUACUCUAGUCCAGGUUAUUCCUUUGACUAAGCUAUAUUAAGUUGUGAUCCCAAAGAUGCUUCAUGUACUAUAAGAACUCUGUACUGAUCUAGACAUCAGUACAGGGUAUGAAGGAUCACUAAGGACACAUAAAAGAAUUCCCUUUUCUGGUAGGACGCAUAGCAAAGUUUUAUUUUCCAGAAAAAUUCACACAAAUACAAAUGUUUGCUGUUCAAGCAUUAAUUUCUAAACUUCUAUUGUUGCUGCUGUUAUGUCCUUUACCUAUGUUUUCAUUGGAUUUGCACUCGGCCUUGCAAAAAUCAUUGGUAAUAAGACUGAAUUUCUUGUGCUGGUCUGGUCUGGCUUAUUUUUUGAAUGCUAGCUUUAUUUUCUUUUAUCAAGUGCUGGUCUGGUCUGAAUUUCUUGGUUUUUUAUGAAUAUUCUAAUAUAUUUGGCAGUGCUUAAAUGUCUUCAUCCGCUUCAAAGAAACAAAGUACAAAAAAUGCACCGGGUGCUCGAUUGGAUCCCGGGUGGGAUCAUGGAAUUGAAAUUGAUUCUAAUAAAAAACAAUUUCAGUGUAAAUACUGUGGAAUUACUCGAGCUGGUGGUGUGUAUAGGCUUAAGCAUCAUUUAGCUUGUACACAUACAAAUGUUGAACCAUGUCCUAGCGUUCCUGAAGAUGUUAGAACCCAAAUGUUUGAUUUACUAAGUGCAAGUUCUGAGGAAUCAAGGAAAAAAAAACAAAGGGUUAGUACCAUGUAUGAUUUAAAAGAAGAAGAAGGUGAAGUUAAGCAGCAGGCUAAAAAAUGUUCUAUGGACAACUUUGUUGUGAGAAAAUCUGGGGGGUUGAAUGUGAGACAAACAACCAUAAAUGAGAAAUGGAAGAAACAAGAUAGAGAUGAAGUUUGUCAAAUAAUGGCUAGGUGGUUCUAUACAAGUGCCGUUCCAUUUAAUGCUGUAAAUAGCCCAUUGUUUCCUUUAAUGAUUAGGAAAUUGGGAGAAUAUGGAAAAGGAUUUAAACCACCUUCAUACCAUGAAAUGAGAGUGACCUUUUUGAAAAAAGAGGUGCAAGAGACAUUGAAUUUGCUCAAUAUGUACAAAAAAGAGUGGAAAAAAAAUUGGCUAUACUAUUAUGUCCGAUGGAUGGUCUGAUCAGAGAAAGAGAACAAUGAACAAUUUUCUUGUGAAUAGUCCAGCUGGUACUGUGUUCUUAUCUUCGGUAGAUACCACUGAUAUUUCAAAAACAGCUCAAAAAUUAUUUGAAUUGUUAGAUGGUAUUGUGGAAAAAAUUGGAGAGGAUAAUGUUGUGCAGGUCAUCACCGAUAAUGCUUCUAAUUAUAAGGCAGCUGGAAAAAUAUUGAUGGAAAAGAGAAAAAGAUUGUUUUGGACCCCUUGUGCUGCUCAUUGUAUUGAUCUAAUGUUAGAAGAUUUUUAAAAGUUUGAUUCUCUCCACAAAGUUACUAUACAAAAAGCGAAAUCAGUGGUUACAUAUAUUUAUUCAUGGGGUACAGUUAUUAAUUGGAUGAAACAGUUCACUAAUGGCAAGGAGUUGAUUAGACCUGGAGUUACUCGUUUUGCUACUUCAUACUUGACCAUGAGACGUCUUAGCGAGCUGAAAGGGAAUUUGUUUAACUUUUUCUGUUCGGAUAAAAAGAAAACAAGCAUGUAUGCUAGGAGAAACAAGGGGAAAAAAAUUGAGAGCAUCAUUUUUGAUAAUCAACAAUUUUGGCCAAAUGUGGAGUUAUGUUUAAAGAUAGCUUCGCCUCUUAUCAAAGUAUUGAGGAUGGUUGAUUCUGAUGAAAAACCAGCCAUGGGCUUUCUCUAUAAAGCUAUUGAUCAGGCAAAAGAAGAAAUCAAACAAAAUGUGAACAAUAUUCGAAAGAGGUGAAUUUUAAAUAAAUUGUCAUAUUAAUUAUGAGUUCAUUUAUAAUUUCUGUGUUGGAUAGUAGAAUGAAUUUUUUUAGUUAUUUUUUUAACCAAACUCAUGUUUAUGUGCUAGAUUUGAAUCGGCAUUUGCUAUCAUUGAUAAAAGAUGGGAAGAUCAAUUGAGUCAUCCUUUACAUGCCACGGGUUAUUAUUUGAAUCCUCAAUUUCAAUAUAGUCCAGAUUUUCAGUCGGAUGCAAAUAUAAAACGUGGCCUUUAUGAUUGCAUUGCUAAGAUGGUUCCCGAAUCUGGUGAAAGGGUGAAGAUUGAUUUGCAAUUAGAUGAUUUUCGACAUGCAAAUGGAUUAUUUGGUCAUGAAAAUGCUGUACUAACAAGAAACAAGAAAUCUCCUGGUUAGUUACUAGUUGAACUUUGUGUUUUUAUUUUUAAAACCUUUACUAAUUUGUUAUUUAUUUUAAUUUCCUACAGCUGAUUGGUGGGAAUCUUAUGGCGAUGAGUGUCCAGAGUUGAAAAAUUUUGCCAUUCGAAUUCUCAGUUUAACUUGUAGCUCUUCUGGAUGUGAGCGAAAUUGGAGCGCAUUUGAAUUGGUAAUAAUGUUUUCAUAUAAUAUAAUAUCUCAUUUAGUAUAAUAUUUUGUUUAGCAUUUGAAUUUAAGUUCGUAGUAUAACUGUAUAAGUUCUUUCAAUUUCAAUAGGUACAUUCUAAGAGAAGAAACCGUUUGGCUCAAAAACGAAUGAAUGACCUUGUGUUUGUGAUGUACAACUUGAAGUUGAGAGAGAGACAAAGGCAAAGGCAACGUGUUAUUGAAGAAAUUCCUUUUGAGAAUUUGCCUUCAGAUGAUGAAUGGGUGACAGAGAGAGAAAAUCCAACUCUUCCAAGAGAAAAUAGCUGGUUACGAGUUCUAGAUGACAAUCCCAAAUGUGACACUUCAGAUGAAGAGGGAAAUGAAGAUGAUGAAAUUGAAAUACUUACAAGAAAUGUGCAGAGAGUUUGUAAGUUUCUUUCUUUCUUCCAAUUUAAGUAUAAAGUUUAUCCUUUUUUUUGUUUUUAUAGUUUUAUUUUUCAAGUUCUCUUGUUUUUGGUAACUUUCAUUAUUAUUGUUUGUUUAUUUAGAUGAUCAUGAAGAUCGUCAAACCCAUGUCCGUCGAAGACAAGUUAAUAAAAUGAAAGAGAUUCAUGUUAUUGAUGAGGAUGAUGGGCCUUCAACUGAAUUCGACCGCCAAGAUGAUGAUUAUCUUGAUAUGGUUCCCGAAACUGAUCUUCAAAUGGGAACUAAUGAUUUGGAUGAUACUAAUUUGGAUGGUGAUUAAGAUAAUGCCGAAGAUGAAUUCCAAGAGAAUUGGGAUGGUGAAGAUGAUUGGGAAAAUAAUGAUUUUGAUAAUAUGGAUUAUGGGAAUAAUGAAUUUGAUUCAAACGAUGAAAAUGAUUGGUUAUAAAUUAAUGUAUUUCUGAAUUAUUAUGAUACUUGAAAAUGAUGAAUUGUUGCUAUUUUAUUUUUUAUUUUUUCAUGUUUGUUUAAACAUGACAGAUGACAUUCUAGUAGUUAAUUUUGAUCUUGAAAAUCUUUUUGGAUGUUUUGCUUUUUAGUAUUUGUGAAGGUUGAUGAUUAUUUUAUAUUUGAAAUUAUGAUUGUGUAAACUGUGAAGCAUUUGAUUUUAAGAUUUGAAAUCAUGACAGAUAACAGGUUUACAUUCUCUUCUUUAUUACUUGUCAGAUAGUAAGUAAAAAAUACUAUAUAUUUAUGAGUAACUUAUUUAUUUGAUAUCUUUUAGGAUGUACAAAAUGAUAUAUGAAUUUCAAAUUCAUUAAUUUAGUAAAUUUAGGAGUUUUUGGUAGGAUCUUACGAUCCUACGAUCCGAUUCUGUGAAACUAAAAUCGAUCCGACGUGGGAUCCCGAUUUUACAAACCUUGAUAAGUACAGUUAUACUACCAGGAAGGGCAAGUAGGCAUGCAUCAUGGACCAUGAAAAUGCCAAUUUUCAGAAAUCAAUUACAGCUUUGAUGAGCUGCAAACUUCUUGGACAAUGAAAAUGCCAGUUUCUAGCAAUGAAAUGAUAGCUUUCACGAUCUGCAACUUCUUAUUGAUUAAUGAACACUAAAAAGUACGUAUCAGCUCAAUAUUGCCUCUCUUCGUAGUACCUGGAAAAGAUGUAAUAGUCAACCAUAAGUGACAGAACUUUAACAGCGCUAGCCAUAUAACAAACAAUGGACAAAACUUUAAUAAAGCUAGUCAUCUUCUUUUCUUUAGCAUGUGAUAUUUCUUCAUGUUUUGCACUUUUGUUUAAGCUUGACAGUGAAAGCAUUUUUCAACCUAGAAGAUUCUGCAAGGCAAAACUUUCUUCAUUUUAGUUUCUUCAUUUCAGCAAAACUAACUUUUUGUUUGGAUUACCAUUUUAAGAGUUUUUCACUGUUAUUUCAUUAAUCUGAGUGCAAGCUUGAGAAUUGAGAUAGGAACAAGUUAAAGAAAUGUUAAAACUGGCUUGAAGUGGGCAUUAUUUCUUGGAAUCUGUUUUAUUACUUUUGUACCUUAUUUCUUAGAAAUGUUAUUCGAAAUUUCUGUUUUAGCUAAUCAGAAUCUGUAUUGGUUAUUAAAUGUGUUUUGACUAAGGAAUGUACAACUCUCCAUUCAACUCAUUUCAAGAUUCAUCAUCAAGUCCUGUGAUGAAGCAAAACAAUGAAGACGUGGAACAAUUGAACUACAACAAAGAAAGAGCUGAUGAGAUGAGUGAAGAAGAGAUAGAAAUGAUAGAAAAUGAGGGCAAUGAAAGAGGACAGCAAGAGAUGGAGAUGAAGGAGCUGGUCCUUUUGAGAAAAAACAAAGGAAGAAGAAAUCUAGUAUAUGGGAUGAAAUGACAACAAUAGUGCUAGAUAAUGGGACGGUCAAAGUGAAGUGCAACAAUUGCAAGGGACUUUUUGUCAAGAGUGCAACCGGAGCCACAUCUCAGCACAAGAGACACUUGAUUCUUGCUUACAAAGAAAAAUAGUCAUUGGAGAGCAAAGCAAACAAAAGCAACAAGUGCUGUCAUUCAUCGAAGGCCCAAGUAAUUGUAUCACUUCCAUCACAAAUUUCUUGUAUGAUCAUGCCAAGGUAAGAGAACUUGCAUCACACAUGAUUCUUGCACAUGAGUACCCCUUUUCUAUAAUGGAUCAUGUAGUUUUCAACAAAUUCAUGAAAGCAACUUCUCUAUUUUAUAAAAGGAUUAAUCGGCAGAUUGUUAAGAAAGAUUGCAUUAGUACUUAUACAAUUGAAAAAAGGAAGCUGAAAUCAUUGUUGAAAGGUGCUGGUAGGAUUAGUAUUGCCACAGAUUUGUGGACAUCUGGUCAAAAAAUUCAAUAUAUGGUUGUGACUGGUCAUUUUGUUGAUUUUGAUUGGGUGCUACAAAAAUAUUUGUUGAAUUUUUGCAAUGUUCCUCCUCCUCAUACUGGAGUUAUUAUAGCUGAUACUCUAAGUAAGUGCUUUAUUGAUUGGGAGAUUGAGAAUAAGGUUUUUAGCAUAACUGUUGAUAAUGCUUCAUACAAUGAUGUGUGCAUUAGGAGAUUUAGAGAGGAUUUUUCUCUAAAAAAAAGAUUAAGUAUUGGAGAAAAAAUUUUCAUGUUAGAUGUUGUGCACAUAUACUUAAUCUCUUAGUGCAAAAUGGUCUUGGUCAACUUGGUGGUGUGAUUGAUGUUGUUAGAGAAGGGAUAAAGUACUUGAACAAUUCUGAAUCUAGGCUUCUUGAAUUUGCCAAAAUUAAAAAACAGUUUCAGUUGCCCUCUAGAAAGCUAAUUUUGGACUGUCCAACAAGGUGGAAUAGCACCUAUUUGAUGUUAGUUUCGGGUUUAGAGUUCAAGGAUAUUUUUCCAAGAUAUGCAGACAUUGACCCCGGAUUUCACUAUGUUCCUACUGAUUUUGAGUGGAUGAAAGUGGAAGAAGUGUGCAAAUUUCUAGGAAUAUUUCAUGAAAUCAUUGAUAUGAUUUCCGGGUCCGAGUAUCCAACAGCUAACAUUUUCUUGUGGAGCUCUAUAGGAUUAAAGAGCUUUUAAAUGAAAAAGCUCUUGACCCUUUUUAGCAUAUUCGGGCUAUGGCUGGAAGUAUGUCUGCUAAAUUUGAUAAGUAUUGGGGGAAAAGUAAUGUGCUGCUAUCUUUGGGUGCAAUUUUGGAUCCGAGAUACAAAAUAUUUCUUAUUAAUCAUGCUUUUCCGGUGAUUUAUGGUGAGGAUGCAGCUCCUAGAUUCGUGGCUGAAAUUAGAGACACUCUUUAUGAGCUUUACAAUGAAUAUGUUGAUUGUCACAUUGUUUCCCAUUCUGAACAACAACAGAGGCAGGUUGUAAAAGGGAAACAAAAUGAAGGUUCUAGUUCUUUUAGUAAGAAACAGAAAAUGACUGGACCUGUCAUUUUAACUGGUAAAGAAAAGUUGCACAUGCAUGUGAGUGAAAUUAACAGGGCUCCACCAGAAAAAUCAGAUUUAGAUGUUUAUUUAGAGGAAAGUAAGUAUUGUGACGCCCCCACUUCUCCCUAAGACGAACCAAAAGAUAUCCACGGGACGCCUGCCCAACUCUUGCCAGGAUUCGGUACAAUUUCCGUUCAAACUUAUUACAAUACUAGCUAUCAAGACAAGAUAAAGUAAGAAAGAUAAGUCACUUCCAUAAAUAACAUUCAAACUUACACCAAGAGUUCCAAAAUACAUCAAAUUUCCAAAAUAUACAACUGUCAAAAGUCUAGUCGAUUACAUUUGGAACCCUAAUACAAAAGUACAACAAAAGGGUUUCUCCGAGUUUCACUCCAUGUCCAUGCCUGUUAAGAAAAAUAAAUCUACGGGGUGAGCAAUUGCUCGUGAGGCCAAGAAACACACAUAUAAGCACGUUGUCCAAUUAACAAGAAAAUGAUAAUAUUCGAGUAAUUAACAAUUCAAGUGAAAUGUAAAUAGAAACAAUUCAAGGAUAUGGGAGCUCUCAGGAGCUAUUGUCCACUGGCACGAUCAAGAACCUCCACGAGUUGACACUCCGUCAAUCGGAUAGGUCAUAGUCCGUAGAAGCUUCACUUACGCGUUCCCCGUCCACCAUACAUACCGCACCGGCCCCGAACGUCAUUUAUAAGGUGAUACUCCACGAGUAUGCCAAGUGAAAUCUCUCCAAUAGAUCAAGUUUAUCAUAUUAUUCUCAUGACUCACCAAGAUUCCCGACCAAACCCAUGCCAGCUCGAUUCCCAGGUCAGUUUAUGAGUUUGGGCGUCCCCCAUGUAACAUUUGUAAGUCGAGGAGAUUCACUCCAACGACGUAUACAGCCAUAGCAUACCAUUUCAUGCCAUUCAAGCAUUCGAUACAUUCAAUCAUUCAUUUCAUUUCAAUCAAGUCAUUCAUGAUCCAUUCAUUUCAUUUCAAUUAAUUCAAUCAUGAGUCAUUCAUUUCAAAUGAAAACGAGUGCGGUAAAGUACACACUGGACUCCAUUUUCAAAAUCUCCAAUCAUUAAUAACAGUUAAGCAUGUAUCAAGUUCACAUACACUUGACACUCACCAAGUAAUUCAAGAAGUAAAGCACAAGCGGUUGUUUAGGCGUCUCCUGUGAGAUUUUCUUGAAAGUCCUCUUGAGUGCCUGAGCAAUAAUAAUGAACUAUUACACACUAUCGUUUAAAACCCCUACUUAUCGAGAAAGAUUGCACUCGUGUACAAUCUAAGAAGAUAUUAUGAGAAUGAGUCUUAAUUACUUGUAAAUCGAGGCUCAAAAGUGGGGUUUUAAUAAUACAAGGAAAUUCGAUUUUCAUCUUUGAAAUCAAGUGUAAAAUGAUCAAGCAAUAUCGAGGAAAAUGGUGAGUUCUCAAAACUCAAUUUCCUUUAAAUUCGGAAAUUUCAGAUUUGACAAGUAAUCUUUGAAAAAUUGUAUCUCACUUUCUGUAGGUCCAAAAUUCGAAAAAUUGGUACCGUUGGAAACUACUUCUAAAGUACUAAAAGUUCCUAGAAGAUAUUUUUCCAUGAUUCCAAAUGAAUGACAUUCAAAAUUUGGCUCAAAGUUGCUGUUUCGGGCUACCAAGACAGUUUCGGGGUUGGUUUUUGCCAACUUUGAAAAUUCGGCAAAAUUCACAAAAUGUAAACUAGCCUCUGUAAUUUGGAACUCAAUUAUAGUUAUAAACAAAGUUUAAAACACAACAAACAGAACAAGAAUCGGAGUUUUGAGCGCCAAGAUAUAGCAGCUCAAAGUUGCUGAAAUUUUCUCAUUGAAUAAGGAUUUUCCAGAUUUGAAACAUGAACUUUGGGAUUUCAGUUGAGCAUCAAAAUGAACUUGGAAUGGCACCAAAUUUGGUAGUAUUACCCUACCAUAGAAGGGCUAUUCCUCUGUCAAAUUUCAUGCAAAAAUUCGUACGGAAGGUCAGUUGACAAAGCCGCUAAAAUUCCAAGAAUUUCCAAGGCAAAUCUGCCUUGUACUUCCGUUUUCCUUUUUCAAGCAUUUGGCCAAUGAAAUCUUCUCAAACAUGGUUCAUUUAUGAAGACAAGGUCUAAGAAAUAUCCAAAAUGUGUUUGGUAGGUGAUUAACACCAAGAGUUCCAAAAUAACGAGUCCCAAUUCGAGUUAAGGCAUUCAACUAGCCAAGAUUAGGGUUUCCUUUCACUGACACAAGUCUGGAAUUCGGCCACAACUCAUUCAAUUCAACUUGGAAUUGGGCAUGGUCAGUGGUGUUGGAAACUACAUUCAUAGGGAUACAAUUUCUCAGAAGAAAUUGUUUGGAAAUUCUGUCCAUAACUAGUUCAUAUUCGAGCAACAAGUUGCAGCACACAAUAGGUUUUCUAACACAGCCGAGAAACAGGGCAAGUGAAUUUGAAAGGCUGGUACGGCUCACUCAAGUGGAAUCAGGGGAUGUAUUUUAUACUGUUAGAAAACUAGAAGUGUCUAGUUUCUAAUCCCGCAAACAGCACUCGAUUUUGACGUUGGAGCAAAGAGUUAUAGUGGUUUGAAAUUCGCUGCCAGAGCAACUCUGGACACGUUUUCCAGCCAUGAAGAAAUUUCGAAAUCCAAACAUUUACCCAAUCAAAUCAAGUGAUUUUUGGUGGAAACUUUCCAAACAACCUAUAAAACAUAUAUACACCGAAAUAAAGUCAAUGGGACCACAAAAAAUUGCACCAAGAGGCGCGGCAAUGACAGGGCAGAUCUGGCCCUUCUUCCAUUUCAACUUCCUUAGAGUUUCUUUCCACUCUUUCAACUUAAAUCCACUAGAUUAACACUUAAUUAACAUAAAUAACACUCAAAAUCAUCAAAUCAGAUCAUCAAGUCCAUUGUGGGAUUUGAUAGAGUCCACUCACAUGAUUUUUAAUAAUCCAAAGCUACCCGCAUGAAGUUACAAGUUUCUAAGUGUAAUCUAACUUACAAAAGCUAAGAUUUAAAGGGUGGAUGAUCAUUACCUCUUAGAUGUUGCUAGAGCAGAAAUUUCGGUCCUUAGAGCUCCAAGAAAACCAUGAGAAUGAAGCUCUUCUCCUAGCCCAAGAUGGUCUCCAAGUUAUUUGUAAGGUGUGGUAUGAAUUUGAGAGGAUUUGGUGCAAGAUUGAGAGAUGAAAUGGUGAAGAAACUUGGUCUUCUUCUCCUUGGUGUUGCACAGCUGCUUGAGGGAGAGAAAGAGAGAGUUGUGGCUGAUGGAAAGCUUCUCUUGGAAGCUUAAGAGUUUGCGGUCAAAAUUACUCCAAAAGUCAACUAAGAAUAAUGCGCGCGUUUCGUGCUCGUUUCCUCUCGGCUUUGUUUUACUUGUGCACUAAAUCUCUAAUGCACUUCCAUUCAUACUAUUAUUAUUCACUCUUAAUAGUCUAAAAAUAAAGGUUUAAAGUCCCUCAAUUAAUCGCGCGUGCGAAAAUGCAGACUUCCGAUUUGUGCGCGAUAGAGUAAAAUUUCUAAGAAAUUCUUACAACGAUAUUAUAACUGACUAGUACUUGAGUACUUAAACAUAAAAAUACCUAUUUUGAAACUAAUGUAUGAGUCUUCAAUCUCCAAGCUCACUGUAUUUUCAAAUCGAUUAUUGUCUCCAAACGCGUAUUCACUAUUCUCACUAAACGAGUUUUCAAAAAUUAAAUUUUUGCAACAAGUAAUUUUAAAAAUAUAUGUAAGUCAUAAUUCCAUAUAAUUGAGUCUAAAAAGGUUGGAAUAAAAUAUUUGGAGCAAACGGGCAAUUAAAUAUUUAAAUAAACUAGUAAUAUGAAUUUAAAAUAAGUAAAUUUGUGGGUCCUCACAGGUAUGCUUGUGAUACAAAUGCAAAUCUGGAUGUUUUGGGUUGGUAGAAAUAGGAAAGAUUGAGAUUUUCUAUCUUGUCGAGGAUGGCUGCCGAUAUACUCUCCGUUCCUGUUACAACUGUGGAUUCAAAAUCUACCUUCAGCGCCAGAGGUAGAGUAAUUGAUGAUCGACGAGCUUCUAUGUCAAUUGAGAUGGUGCAAAAUGUUGCUUUGCGGCAACGAUUGGAUCCGCAGUCUUCAUGGCCUAAAGAAUAAGUCUCGCGUAAGUAAUUGAUUAGAUGUUUUUGUUAUUGUUACAGUUUCUUUAUAUCUGAUUUUGAAGAAUUUUAUAACUUUCAUACUUUUGUUUUGUAGGAAUCACUUGAUGCGACCGAAUUAAUCACAUUUGCGAAAGUUGAACUUCCUGAAUCAUUCACAACCUGAUUUGACGGCUGUUGAUGUUGCUUGGUUCAAACUGAUUCAUUCACAUGUUGAUUUCGUUCAAAAGCUGCAUCGUUCACAAGUUGUUUUCAUCCAAAAAAGUUGUUUUUAACUCUUGGUCUAGAGUUUAAACAUUUUAGAAACUGCUUAAAACGUAUUGAUGGCUGAUGUUUAAUUGUUUGGACUCUUUUAUGUAAUUUUCAUUUUGUAAUCUGAUCUGGUCUGAUGUCGAGUUUGGACAUUUUGUUCCUCCAUUUGAUAGUUUGAGCUGCAAUUUUAACUUCUUUUUCGCUACUCGUGCUUAUGAUGCUUCUGUUUUGCGUUGUCGAAUUGAGUGGAUGAUAUAUCAGGGAAUGUGUUGUUCUUUUUUUGUCAAACUAAAUAUGAGUGUAGAAGAAGCUGAUAUGCUAUCUUCCGUAAACGAGCUCGAGCUCUUCCGUAAACGAGCUCGAGCUCGAGCUCGAGCUUCGAGCUCGAUAAGCUCGACUCAAGUUCAAAAUCAAGUUCGAUCUUGAGUUUCGAGCUUGAUAAGCUCGGCUCACUUUUUGUACUCGAGUUCGAGCUCGAGCUCGAAUUUUCUACAUAGUACAUCGAGUCGAUCUCGAACAGCUUGUGAAACUCGAAUUACUAAUCGAACGAGCUCGAGCUAGCUCGAUUAGAUGUUCGAGUCGAGCUCGAUUGUUAUGUGCUCGAGCUCAACUCGGCUCGUUUAACAGCUCUAAAGUAACAUGCAUCAAAACAGGCUUAUUCUCUUAGUACUUUUUUUUUCUUUUUAUAAAACACAGGUGCAUUAACGCACGACAGAAGCACCCUAUCAAUCUAAGAUCCCAGCUUGCUUGUAGCUUUCGAUAGAGUCAACAAGAGUUUCUUCCACUGGCCUAUACCUCCAGCCCAGCCUCUCCAAUUUUUCUGAGCUAAUAUUCCAUCGGCUUUGAUCCUUCACCUCUAUAAGUCUGCGAAGAAAUGAGUUAUAUCAAGAAAAUAUGCAGACAACAUAAAUGGUUCUUGUAGAGACUCGUAGAUGCCACACUUUUGGAAAUGGAAAUCAUGACGGACAUGAACAAACAAGAAAAUCAGGACAAACGGGGUGUCUGAAAAAUGAGACAAUUAAUUUCAAAGAUGGUAAUCCACCUC
RNAcentral lists this long non-coding RNA (55313 nucleotides) under Coffea arabica (coffee). RNAcentral describes it as "long non-coding RNA (CARA_LNC001751)". Lineage: Eukaryota; Viridiplantae; Streptophyta; Magnoliopsida; Gentianales; Rubiaceae. The record is from RNAcentral.